UUCCCCCGUCUCCAAUCCUGUGUGUGGCGGCUGCAGCCUCAUCCUCCUCUUGCCCUGCACCUUUGUUCAUUCUCAUCCUCCCGUGCUCCAUGCCUCCAUCUCUGCCCCUCCUCCUCCGGCUUCACAUGUGCCCAGCCACCUUCUCCUCCAGCCCUCCACCUCCUCAAUAACUGCUCCUUCUUCUCAGGGUCAUGGUUGUGGUAGUGCCGGGGACGCGGAAGGACGAGGGACCGUGUUCACGGCCAGAUCCUCAAGAACUGCUCCCUUCUAGUUUGGUCUAUAUUGUUUCGAAACAUGGGUUGUAUGAUUUUAUAUGUGUAUUUGAUAAAGAUUAUGCUGUAUGUUUUUACUCUAGUUUAUUUCAAAUUUUGUUCAGAUUUCAAAUUUUGUUUUGUCAUUUUCGUCCGAAAUUUUCCGAAAAAUAUCCGAAAAUCCGAAUUCCGCCCAUUUCGCCCAGGCCCGGUAAAAUUUGCAAAACGAAAUCCAAAAUCUUGCUACGUAUAAAUUCCGUGGCUAGCCGAAUAGAGAUCAUUGGAGCACCUGUUGCUGUUGGCGACGUUCUCGUUGUCAUGGCUGAGAACCCGGCUGCUGCUGCAGUCAAUCUCGGCGCAGGACUCCGGCUACCGGAGACGUCAUCGAGAUGCGUCAUGGAGAGCGGCGCACACAACUUCGAGGUGACUAAUUAUGCGCUGCUUGAGGGACUGGGCGUCGGGAAGUACAUCGCCUCAAGCACAUUCAGGGUCGGCGGCUACGAUUGGAAUAUGAGGUUCUACCCGGACGGAGAGAGGAAGGAGUCUGCCGGCAACGCUUCAGCCUUCUUGGCUAAUCUCAGCCAGGCCAAGGACGAGGUGAGGACAAAGUUCACCUUAAGCAUGCUGGACGAUCAUGGCAAUGCACAGGAAAGCAAUCGCUGUGAUUACGUAGUGGAGCACAUAUUUACCCAGCAAGCUUUGAGCAUCGGCUUCUCAAAAUUCGUUGAGAAAUCCAAGCUCAAACCCUCAUCUCACCUCAUAACCCUACGGUGCGUUCUCACCGUGAUUAAAGAACCGCCCGCGGAUUGCCGGCGAAACCCCAUCGUGGUUCCACCGUCGGAGCUGCCCGGCCGCCUCGAGCGCGCCCUUAAGGACGGGAAGGGCACCGACGUGACGCUCCUCGUGGGUGGCAGGGAGUUCAUCGCCCACAGGUUCAUGCUGGCCGCACAGUCGCCGGUUUUCGACGCUCAGCUCUUUGGCCCGAUGACGGAUGAGGAGGACACGCGGCGCAUAGAGGUUGUCGACAUGGAGCCGGCCAUCUUUGAGAUGCUUCUUCACUACAUCUACAAGGAUUCGCUGCCCUCAUGUGGCGAGAAAGGUUACGAUGCUGCGACCAUGCAGCACUUGCUAGUGGCGGCAGACCGGUACGGCAUGGACAGGCUCAAGGCGAUGUGCGAGGAGAAGCUGUUGGAAAGCAUCAACGUGCAGACCGUUACAAGUACAUUGGCGCUUGCAGAUCGGCACUUCUGCGAGCAGCUCAAGGAUGCUUGUGACAAGUUUCUUUCUGCGCCGGGAAUAGCGGCCAUUGUCUUGUUAAGAAACGGGUGCACACGCCUCAUGGCAAUGCUACAAUCGGGGCACAAGGAGGAGGCAGCUGCCGCGGGGACGAAGUAAUCUAGCUAGACCCAAAAAUAAUCAUUUUUUUCUUUCAUCAAAAUAAAUUUUUAUUUUUUACUGUGGUUUGAUUCAGGGACGGACCUAGAAACUUUAUUGAGUGGGGGCAAAAUACUUGAGUGAGGGCAUAUUUUAUUUUGUAUAAAUUUAGAGAGUUUUAGUAUAUAUUUUCUAAACAUACAAUCAAAUUCUACAGGAUUUUCAAAACUUCAGUGGGGCCAUGGCCCCCACUCACAUCAACGUGAGUCCGCCCCUGGUUUGAUCAAUUUCUGGUACGAUCCUAGAAGAAAUCUGGUGUUAAUAAUCACAUCCAUCAAGUUUCAGAAUUUUUUGAUUUUGUUCUUUUUUUCUGAAUUUACUGUUUAUUGCGUGGAUGCACCGAAGAUGACUGCAGCACUAACGCAUCCGCUGUUCCAUCGAUCGGCGUUUGCUUCUCCACGGGGAAGCUGCAGUUUUAAUAAAUGAAGAAACAUGGAAACAAUCGUACAACAGGACGGUACAUCCACACCAAUAGGUAGCAGGAAUCAUGCGAGAACCGAGAUGGUAUCUACUCCUACAUCGAAAAGGAAUACGCGUACGCAUGCCGGCUGUGACUGCCGGGCGGAGAGGAGAGAUCGUCGGUCGGUUCGAUAGUGGCGGGGAUACCCGCUGCCGCUUUGGUUCGCCAUGGCUCACAACGCGGCCGCUGCAGUUGAUCCCGGCGAAGGGCUCCUGGCUCCCGUCGCGACGUCGAGGUGCGUCGUGGAGGGCGCGACACACGAUUCCCAGGUCACCAACUACCGACUGCUUGAUGGCAUGUGCAUCAGAAAAUAUAUUAGCUCAUGCACGUACUAGUCUGGCCAACGUAGGGCACAACAAAGAUCAUGCGCGUAUGCCACGCCAAGAUAGUCCCAACGAUUGCCACUGUUAGGUUUUCGUCUCCAGAUCCAUCUCCUCCUGUAGGCGGCGCCAUCUCUAGUACUACUAUUUUAUGCCAACGGCUGUUACUGUCCGAGAUGCACGCGCUGGCUGCGGCUGGGUACAGACGCAUCCGUUGAUAAGGAGAGUCCGACGCGGUGGCCUAAUACAAUAUGCUGGUCGCGCUCAUCAACUCCAUAUGCUGCGAGAAGCAGGUUUGCGCACGACUGGAUCAUAACAUGUUCCGGCCAAACAGGGUGAAGGCGCUAGUCACCUUGGGCGUUACUUUCCAGCAGUCGGAGCCCCGCUUGGUAGCUCGUGCACGGACGAGUAGUAUAUGUGCCGCAUCUAGGUUGUAUAACUCUUGAGAGCAUCUCCAACAGUUCGUAUGUUCAAUCGUUGGUAUAUGGAAGAAAUAACCAUAGAGUGUUCACGUCAACAAUCAACAACACAUCAUACAAGCUCUUCAAUAGAGUGUAUAUGUGAAUCGUAUGUAAAAUAACUAAGGGGGUCCACUAAAUAUGGAAGAAAUAACCAUACUUGCCUCGGAGCUUGUGCGUGAACCGUUGCUUCAAGUUCAUACGAUGUCAUUCUCUCUCUUCUUUUAUUAUACGCCAUGUCAUCAAAAUCAUCUAUGUGGCAAUUUUACCAACGAUGAUUAUACGAUCAUUGGAGAUGCCCUGAUGCAAGGAUGGUUUCAUACUAGCUUUGUGCCUCGCGUUCGGUGUUCGAUGUUGCCUAUCUAGUCAUGGAAGACUUGAACCAAGUGCGUUGGGCAUUUGCCCUCACUUCGUAGUUUCAUUUUUGUUGGAUUUAUAAUGUAAAUUUUGAGCUAGUUUGUAAGCUUGUAUGUAACUCUUGUACAUUGUUUUUUUUCUUUUUUCCUUCUAUAUGAAAUGGGCAGAGCACCUGCCUUUCACGUCAAAAAAAAUACUAGCUUUGUGCCUCUUCUAGCCGAAUUAAAUUAAUCUGACUGCAAAUUAUUGCGUAUUAUUGCAAUGAUAACUUACUUCCUCCUAUGCAUGUUCGAGAUGUCCAACGAAAUUUCAAAACACAUCCAAUUCACAAUAUAAUAGAAUCCGAGGACUGUGGAGGUGGUUAAUUUUGUUGGAAUAAUUAGGAUGAGUUCAAGCACCGGCAAUUAAGUAAGAAAUAACUUAUAGUGCUUAUUUUAUGUUUUAAAAAACGCACAUGAGUUACGGAUCAAAUUGGUGGCUGAUGAUCAAAUAAUAUUCAUAUAAAAACUACAAAAUUAUAUUAAGUUUUCCAUCAAUUUUUUUUAUUAAGGAGGCCCAAAUUUUGGUUUCGCCCUGGACCCUCGUAACCUCAGGACCUGACCUGUGGCUAGGAUUGGAACAUCAGGUUCUACCCGGACGGACGUUGCCGCCUACGCGUCAGUCUUCUUGUGUUAUCUCACCUUAACCAGGCUGUUAUCAGAGUGCAUCUUUUCUCCAGGUCAAGAGAAUCCAUGGGGCUUUUCAAAAUUCGUCGAGAAAUCCAAGCUCAAAUCGUCAUCACACCUCCUAACAAUAAGGCGCCUUCUCGCCGUGAUCAAAGAACCACCCGCGGAGUGCAAGACCAAUCUAAUCGUGGACCCUCCGUCGGAGCUGCCCGGCCGCCUCCACCGCGCCCUCGAGAACGGUAUAGGCACCGACAUCAAGCUCCUCGUGGGCGGCAGGGAGUUCAGUGCGCACAGGUUCAUGCCACGCAGUCGCCGGUUUUCAGAGCUCAGCUCUUCGGCCCGAUGGCACAUGAGGACAUGUGGCGUAUCAUAAUUGUCAACAUGGAGCCGGCCAUCUUCUAGAUGUUUCUUGACUACGUCUACAAGGAUUCGUUGCCGCCGUGUGGCGAAGACGAUUACGGUACAACCACGAUGCAGCAUUUGCUAGUCGCUGCGGACCGGUACGGGCUUGACAGGUUGAAGGUGAUGUGCGAAAAGAGGUUGUACGAAAACAUCAACCCGACAACAGCCACGAGUACAUUGGCACUAGCAACUCACCACUACUUUGACAAGCUCAAGGAUGCAUGCUUAAAGUUUAUGUCGUCGUCACGGGAAGUCAUGGAUGCAGUCGUGGCAACCGAAGGGUUCCAACACGCCAUGGCAAGUUGCCCCAUGCUAGAUUUGCAUAAGAACACAGGGGAAAAGGUAACCAUCGUUAGGAAGUAACCCAAGAAGGAAGUGAAAUUCUAAAAUUUCUUUUGUACAAGUCCCAUACUUUUUGAGGUUGGUACAUAUAGUACUAAAGUGCGGAAAUUGCUUUUGGUGGCCGAGCUCCAUGAAGGCCUUUAAAUUUGAAAUUCAAAUUUCAUGAAAAUUCAUAUUUUUACAUUUCAAAAAAUUACGAAAAAAAAUACAGGGAUAAGUGAAGGCGUAACACACAUGUGUGUAAAUUUUUAGAAAAAAAUACAUUGAAAUGAGGGCUGUGCAAAAAAGACAAAUCUGAGGCUUUUUUACACAUGACACUAUUCAUCAUUUCAGGUCAUAAAUUUGUCUUUUUUGUGCAGAUCGUAUUUCAAGGUAUUUCAUCCUAAAUUUUUGCACACAUACGCAUAACAUCCUUCUUUACUUCCAUAUUUUUUCAGAUUUUUUUGAAACCAAAAAGUUUGAAUUUUAAAUUAUUCAAAAAUUUCGGCCUCCAUGGAGGCCGAGCUCCAAACGUCCGCACUCACUAAAGUGUUUCUUUAAAGCUAACACAUACGUAAAUCUCGCGGGAUUCGGUCGACCACAUGGAUCUUGUUUUCACUCGUGUAUGUUCGUGUGUCUAUAGAUUGGAUCCUUUCAAUCUAAACUUCUCUUCAUUGGCAGUUGUUGCUAUUCUGGUGUACUGAUCCUUUGAUCUCAGUAGACUUCUCUUCGUCGGCAGGUCAUCUAUAGUAGCAAUUUAUUAUUUUUCAUUUGGAAUGCACAAUUUUUUUUAAUGCAAUAACUAAUUGCAUCUAGAUUUGUUGCCUGACUUGCAUCAGUUGAAAAACAUGUCUUGUUGUUCUAAUUAAUUACUUCAUGCAAACUGGGAACGUUCCAAUUCCUUUGUACUUGGACUUUUAACUUGCGGACGGAGACUUUUGUGCAGGAAGUACCUCUUCUAGUUUGUCUUGAAACCAUACAACAAUUAGGAAGUCUUCACUUAUCAAUGUAUACAUGCAGGCAAGGGUACCAUUGCCUAAGCUUAACUGAUGGCUUUGACGAAGGGUGCCAGUUCACUAUUCUUCAGGUUACUGAUUUGUCUGUGGUUCAUUAGUCUUUCAUGCCCAGCGAAUGAUAGGAUAGGUGCAGGGCUUGCUUUCAGCUUUCUUGUCUCUACUUUCUUCUUUUCUUGUCACAAAUUUCAUACGCGCUUUCUUCUUUUCUUGUCCCAAUUUCAUAUCAGAUUGGAAGACUUACUUGACUUAUUUUGCUUGGAAGAAGUUACACUUGUUAAAUAAUUAAGUGUCCAGACUAUAAUCUGCUUUUGUUGUGGUGUCAAACUAUAACAUAUAUGUUCUGUGUGAAUCUGUUUGUCAAAAUCUAAUUGGAUUGGCAGUGAUACUUAUAUUUGUUGUCCACUUGUUCUCAUUACAGUGCUAUAUUUUCAUUUGCUUAAUUGUGUAACUUGUCUUGCCAUCUCCGGAUUAUUUCAAUUGGUUAUCCCCUUCUUGUGAUCACUGUUUUAUUGUUUCUCACAAAUAGUUUGGUAAUUUGUAGACAACGGGAAGCAAUAUUGGAGAUACUCGCAAUGUUCGGAGCGAUAUCUAUGGUGGUGAGCAUAAUAUGAGUGCCAAAGAGUAGAGCAUACUUCUCUAAGUCAUUCAACCAACUGAAGUUCUCAAGAUGCAGUCAUGAUGGUGCUUAAUGUUUUUGUAACAUUAUGUUCUAGUUACUAUUUUCUCCCCCCCCCCCCCUUUGAUGGAUCAUUAAAUAAUGUUAUUUGGAUGCAACUCUUGUUCUGCUUUUGAUAUAUUAUGAGAUUGUGCAAAAUAUAAUUCCUCUUUUGUUACUUGGGUCAAAUAUAUGGCACUGCCGAUGGUUUUGAAGUAUCCCAUGAUUGUGAUAUUAGCACUUUGUGCAAUAUUCUGAAAUGCUUAGUGAUAGUUACCAGCAUAACUAAAAUAUAUAGAUUGUCAAACUCUUGGCAAUUAUACAAACUCAUGGUUUAUGAGGACCACUCGGCUAUAACAAUGUCCCACAGUGUACGCACACCAUCAACCUUUAUUAAUCCUGAUGGUGUUAGGCACCCUCUUGGCUAUAACUAAACGUGAGGGUACUAAUAUACUGUCAACCAUGUCAAUACCGACGGGCAGGGACGGAGCCAGCAUGCAAGCAUAGAGGGGGUAAGUUGUUCAUGGAGGGGGCAAAAUUCAUAUGAAAUGAAAUUUUUUGACUACAACAACCACUAUUAUAGUAAAAAAAACCCACUAGAAGACAGUGCACGACAUUGGCCAGCAAUUACUGAAAUAAAAUUCUACAACCUUCUUAUAACCGGAUAAAAAACGGAAAAACAGUGCACAACAUUGGUCAGCAAUUACUGAAGCGUAUCGGCUGCACAUUAUUUGUUGCAGCAGACAGGAAACAAGAAGACUAGCGAGCCCGUAAUCCCAAAAUCACUAGUUAAGGAGUACAUCUUUCAACAAUUACGUCCACCUCCCAGAUGGCGUCAAGUGACACACUGCAUACGUGUCACUUGCCGCAAUCGGGUAAUUUCCCUUUUUUCGCAGAUCCGUAUUUUCAAAACAUUUUAUCUUCCUAAAUCGCGCGUUCAAAUCUUAAACCGUUUUCACCGUUGGGUUUCUCGCGUCGAGAUCUUUAAAACUAGAUCCCAUGUUGAUAUGUUUUGACGACAUUUUAUUCAUGAAAAAACGGGACGAAAAAAUCGUGCCUCACGCGAUAGGAAAAAAAACAGAAAACAUAUUUUUUUUCCCUUUCCGAGAGGCCGCGAAGGCAAAACCGUGCCUCUCGCGAAGCCAACUCAUGCCUCUCACGGAAAAAAAGAGAGCAGAAAACGCGUGUUUUCCCUUUUCGAGAAGCACGGUCGUGCCUCUCGCGGAUGCAAAACCGUGCCUCACGUGAAAAAAAAGAAAGCAGAAAACGCGUUUUUCCCUUUUCGAGAGGCAUGGUCAUGCCUCUUACGGGAAAAAAGAGAGUAGAAAACACAUUUUUUUCCCUUUCUGAGAGACACGACCGUGCCUCUCGUGGAAGCAAAACCGUGUCUCUCACAAAAAAAUAGAAAACGCGUUUUUUCUUCUUCCGAGAGGCACGGUCGUGCCUCUCGCGAUAGCAAGACCGUGCCUCUGGCGAAAACAGAACCGUUCAUCUCGCAAAAAAACAUGUUUUUUCGGGCGAAUUUUUUUUAAUUUUUUUCAUCCAAAAGCUCGAAAGACCGGUGAAAACCCGAAACACCAAAAAAAUCAAGAAAAAAACACUCUAAAUAACCAAAAACGUAUGCGAAAAACUAAAAAAAGGACAAAAUCCAAAGAGAAUGCUAAGAACGCGACACGUGGCAGCGGCUGAGGUAGCUACUAACGGGGAACGAUCGGUUAUGAGCGCUAUCGACACAUGGUGAGGCAGCUACUGAGAAAGACAUGACCGAUGGGUCACCAUCGGCUUUGCACCGUGGGCGAAGAAGGUAAUCAACGGUACCGUCGGCUAUUUUAGUAAUGGCCGACCGAGCAUCACCGACAAGAGAUUUCCGACUGUACACCGUCGGCUAUAGUCUUAGCCCAUGGUGAACUUUAAUAUUGAGAUAUCUAGUAGUGUUACUUCUUUUAUAUGAUUUUAAAAAACUUUCAUGACUUAAAAAUGAAAUAAACAGAAAAUAUAUAUAUAUAAAUAAGACAAUAAAAUAAGCAAGAAAAUUAAGCGAAACAAAGAAAAUGGAAAAGAUGAGAUGCAAAAUUCUAGGACCUUCUUAAAACCGGAUGUAAAACCGAAAAACAGUGCAUGACAUUGGCCAGCAAUUAUUGAAGCCUAUCGGUUGCACAUUAUUUGUCGCAGAAGACUAGCAAGCCCGUAAUCCUGAAAUCACUAGUUAAAGAGUACACCUUUCAACUAUUACUCCUACCUUUCCAGAUGGCACGGGCCGUGCCUCUUACGAAGGUAAAACCGUGCCUCUCGCGAAAGGUUUACUCUUCUUUUCCCCUUUCCGAGAAGCAUGGACCGUGCAUCUCGCGAAGGCAAAAUUGUGCCUCUCGCGAAAGGUGUACUCUUUUUUGCCCUUUCAAGAGGCACGGAUUGUGCCUCUCGCGAAGGUAAAACCGUGCCUCUCACGGAAGCAAAAUCAUACCUCUCGCAGAAAAAAAGAGAGCAGAAGACGCGUUUUUUCCUUUUUCAAAAGGCACGGUCGUGCCUCUCGCGGAAGCAAAACCAUCCCUCAUGUGGAAAAAAGAGAGCAGAAAACACGUUUUUUUUCUUUCCGAGAGGCAUGGUCGUGCCUCUCGGAAAAAAGAGUAAAAAACGAGACACGACAGUGCCUCUCGCGAUAACAAAACCAUACCUCUAGCAGAAACAAAACCGUUCAUCUUGCAAAAAAAAAUGUCUUUUCGUGCUAAUUUUUUUUCAUCCAAUAGCUACGAAAGACCAAUGAAAAACCAAAAAAUCAAAAAAAAACACUCUAAAUAACCAAAAACGUAUGCGAAAAACUUAAAAAAACAAAAUCCAAAAAGAAUGCUCAGAGCGCGACACGUAGCGGCUGAGAACGCGCCAAGUAGCGACGUAUGGGCUCGCUCGAAGGUUUUUGAAGGAGAGCUUGCUAACUAGUUGCUCUCCGUAAUUCACCUCGUGAGUAGGCGGCAAUGAGGAGCGUCGUGGGGAAGUUGCCGAUUGGAUGGGCUUUUUUUUUGUUUGUUGGUUAUGUUGGNGGUUUUGUUGGGGAGGGGCUUUUAUUUUGUUUUUAUACUUGGAGACCCUGAUUUUCUUGGCCUCUCCUCUGUGUUUUUUUAAGAACGCCUCCCCUCUGGUCGAUGGGCCUGUUUUAACAGCUGGACGUGUAUAGUUUUGGCUCCUUGACUAGGCGUGAAAUCAAAGAAAAGGAGUCCUUGACAAGUUCCACGUACGCCCACGUACGCCUUGGCAAAUCGGCACCUUUGUGAUGGGCUCAAGCGUGCGUGCCUCGUGUUUCUUAUGCGCUCGCCGGAAGUCCUAGGCACCUUCCUUGAGACUAGCGGGUUCAACGAGCUCUGUGUCACAAAUUACCAGCCAUUGCCUCUCGAGUGGGAAGUCUUGGGGACGACCAAACGCAGUCAUCCAGAGGAAGAAAUUGAUCCAGGCCAGAAAUUAAAAAAGACCCGCGAUUCUGUUUGACGUUAGGCAUAAUGUUUUUUUACAUAAAUACAGUACCAUCCCUAUUAUAUAUACUUGUGUUUUUCUUUCGAGUUGCAAUACUAAUGCCUCAUAUAUAUAUUGACUAAUGAGAUAAUGCUUUGAAGUCCACAAAAUUUGGUGGUUUAUAUAUAAAGACCGUUAUGGCUGCAUGCAUCACUCGAUGCAGAGGCCGGGGCAAGGCCUUCUUUUCUAAAAAAAUAAUAUAUAAAGACCGUUGUGAGACUCAAAAUAUAGCUGUCUAGUAAAUCUUGGAUAUAGGUUGUUGUGUUCCUCUAAGGCUCCUAUGCCCUUCCCCUUCCGAUUUUUUCUACUCACAAGAGUGGCUCGUAAAUCCUCGACGGCCGGUAGCAAUUCUUGGCUUGGGGACGGGUGCUCUGCGCUGGAGUUUUGGAGGCCCCAGGGCGAACUCAAAUGUAUGGGUCCAGUGAAGACAUUGGAGGAAAAUUUUGAUUCCAUACACUGAUAAAAAUAAUCUUGAAAGCUAUAAUAGACAAUGAUGAUAACUAUGUAUUACUUCAUGUCUAGAUCAAAUACCAUAUAAGCUCCAAAGCAUAACAAAAAAAAUGACAUGCUAACGAACCUCCAUCCUCCAAGCCUCCAUAACCAUGAGCAACGGCACCUUCGUGCAUUUUUUGAUGCAAAAUCAUUAAUGACAGUGUCAAAAUCAAUGUUAUCCAACACAUCCUUCUCAAUACAACAUAUUGUCAAUCCAUUUAGUCUUUCUCGUGACAUAGUUGAUCUCAAAUAAUUUUUCAGUAACUUCAAUUAUGAAAAACUCCGUUUUGCUGAUGCUACAGUCAUAGGCACAGUUAAAGAAUUCGAUAAGCAAUUGAUACGUUUGGGUAACAAUCAGCAGCUCUAAGAAACUCAAAUAUGAGAUCAGCCGACAUGAAUGUAUUUGGCAAUGUCAUAUGCAACACUUUCAAUUCAGAAACAAAAUCAUCUAAGUCAACAUCUGUUGAGUUGUCAUGACAAAAAGUCUUUGCAAAAAUAGUGCAACAUCUUCUAAAAUCAAUAUCAUCCAAGGAUUUCAAUUUUUUGAAGUUGAAUAAGAAGCCGAAUAUUCUCCCAAAUGACAUCAGUGCACAUUAACUCGGACUACAACUUCUUACUAACCAUGUUGACAGUAAAUAAAAUAUCAUGCCAAAUGACUAUACCAAGUAAGAAUUCGAAAUUCCCGAGUGCAGCAACCAAAGACUUUAUUCAUUCUUCCGGGGCUGUCGUUUCCAUUAGGUUGUCGUUCUUCCGGGGCAUUGACAUCUAAUUCCUCAAGAUCAUCAGUAGUAUCAGUCCUCACAACAAAUUUAUUCAUCGCCCCCUUCUGCAAUCCAAUGGGCUCAUCUGUUUGUUUCCUCUUUUUUCUUUUUCUGGGAACCAGAUAAAUGUUUUUUUGGCAACAUGUUUGCAAGAAAAGGAACAAAGGGACCUGAAGGUUGUUGUUCAAAUCAGUGAGAGUCUGUGUUCUUCAGCUAUCCGAAUCUAAUCAUCAAGGAAACUAGAAUUUGAGGACCAAGUCGGCAACGCACGAACUCCGCUCCAAGUCUCCGACACUACUAUUACUGUUGUAAAAGGAAGAAUAUAGAUUAGUCACUAGAUUAAGAUUGGGGGCAAAGAAAAAGAGAAAUUCGUCUAGAAACUUACCUUUCUUUCCUGCAAGCAUCCCGCGACGGCCGCUGUCCAAUCGCCCGAUCUCCGAGGCGAGCGAGAGAACGAACCAGCAUGUUGAAUGAUGAGAAACAAAGUCGCUCGCCGCCUCGCCCUGUGUGUGCGUGCCUUCUUUAGGCCCCUUGGCAAUUGGGCUGCCGUUGGAAGUUGGAUGAUGAGCCUCUCAUCCUAUAGCCUUUUUCUUUUUUUAUUUUCAUUCAGAAAUUCAUCAGGGCCUAUAUCAUCUACUAUAUAUAUACACACUGCAGCAUAGGUCGGGGCCCCUAGUUUGGCAGGGCCCCGGACCAUCGCCCAUGCUGCCCUGGCCCAGAGCGGGCCCUGUGCACCAAGGAGAACAAUUUUUGAAUCUUGAAACCGAGAACAAUUUUUGAAUCUUGAGAACAAAUUUUGAAACCGUGAACAAUUUUUAUAAAUCGCAAAUAAUUUUUUAAAGCACGAACAUUUUUUAAUCUUGAGAACAAAAUUUUGAAACAAAACUAGAAAACUUGAAUAUUUUUUGAAUCUAUUAACAAAUUUUGAAACUAAGAACAUUUUUCAAAUUGUGAAUAAAAUUAUAAAAUGUUGAACAUUUUUCAAAUUGUGAACAAAAUUAUAAAAUUAUAAACAUUUUUUGAAUCUGCGAACAAAUUUUGAAAGUGAGAACAUUUUUUGAAUUGUAAAUAAAUUUGAAAACAUGAACAAAUUUCAAAUUCAUGGAGAAAAUUAAAAAUUAUGAACAAUUUUCGAAUUUGAAGAACAUUUUUUGAAAAAAUUGAACAUUUGUUUAAAAUCAAAAACAUUUUUUGAAAAUGCAGAAACAUUUUUAUAAAAUCCCGAACAUUUUUUGAAACAGAAACGGGAAAGAAAAAAGAGAUAGAGAAGAAAAAANNNNNNNNNNNNNNNNNNNNNNNNNNNNNNNNNNNAAAAAAAGGGAAGGAAUAAGUAAAAAAUAAAAAAAAAUGGUUCACGAACCUUCUAGAAGUUUUCCAAAAACCGGAAAAAACGGCUGAAAAUCUCUAGAAAUUUCCUAAAACCGGCGCUGCAACCCUCUAAAUAGGCCAGCCCAUUUAAAAUCGCUCCCUCCCUUCCCUUCCCUGUGCGAAACACACAACAGCGAAUAGGAAAUUCUGACAGGUAGAAGCAGUACUUCUUGCGUUAUGUAACCCUCUCUUAGCACAGGCCAGGGCCCGACAGCUCAGGCGCAUGUAAUUCAAUGACGACGAAAGCCAAAAUACAAGUGGCCUCGUCGAGGUAUGAUGCCAUGGCCUCGCGCGUCUUUAGUGUCGCUCGCUACAAUUGGGACGUCGUUUCUACCCGGAUGGACUCAGGGAUGAGUGACUGUUCCGGUUAUGCCUCAGCGUAUAUUGCACUACAUCCCUGCGAGGAAACGUAUUUGUUGGGCCAAGUUCACAAUUAGCAUGGCGGAGAAAAAGAGCUAGGUACACCUAGUCAACUUCGAUGAGGUGUCAGGCGUCUUCUCUCGGAAGAAACAUGACGAAUGGGGGCAGCACAGAUUCGUCGACAAGCCCAAGCUGGAAUCAUUGUCGGAACUCAUGGACGGCCGGGAGUUUCGCGCGCACAGGGUCCCUCCUGGCCGCGCGAUCGCCCGUCUUCGAUCGAGGCGCAGCUGUUUGGCAGACAAUCAUAUGCAGUGCGUCAAGGUCAUCGACAUGGAGCCCGCCAUCUUUGACAUGGUACCUCACUACAUCUACACGGACAUGAAGCCUGUAUGUGGUGAUGAAGAAGACCACGGUACAGCAGGGACGCAACGUUUGCUGGCCGCAUCGGAUGGGUACGGGUUGGACAGGCUCAAGUUGAUGUGCGAACAAGAGUUGUGCAAGAGAAUCGACGCGGCCACCAUCACAGCCACCUCGGCGUUGGCGGAUCAGCACCACUGCAAGAGGCUUCAGGAUGCAUGCCAGGAGUUUCUAUCACCGCGAUUCACAAAAAUUUUGUCGGUGACCACCGCGGCCGACUGACGGGUUUAAGCACAUCCCACUGGCUUUGCAAGAGAAACCCGGGGACAAAGGGAAGCCGGUGAAAAAGAAGAAAUUGGAAGAAACUGAUCGAAGCUGGAAUUUUGAAGUAUCCGUACAAAAGACCAAUGUAAAUUUUAUUUUGCAUAAAUAACCUUAUUAGCUAAGUGCCUAUUUAUGUGUUUUUUUUGUUUUAAAGUCGAAAACCUAUCGGGGUUUAGGUAUUGCAAAAUUAUUUGGCUUCUUAUGAAUUUACAUGCAUACAUGCGGCCGCAAUCGUCCAAUGCACUGUGGAAUUGCUAGCAACCUUAUUGCUCGCCCCUCAGCACCUACUCCCACUAGUAGAAAACAGAGCUUUGGUUCGGGCCUGGCCAGUCCAUUAGUCCCGGUUCUUCAUGAAUCGGGACCCAUGGGGACAUUAGACCCGGUUCAUGAGCUCACGGGGCCGGCCGGGGCCUCGUGGGCAUUGGUCCCGGUUUGUCUGGACCCAUUUGUCCCGGUUCUAGGCACGAACCGGGACCAAUGGGCCACGUUCCUGGUCCACAUCCAUUGGUACCGAUUCAUGCCUUGAACCGGUAUAGAAGGGGGGAGGGGCUUUAGCCCGGUUUAUGCCACGAACCGGGACAAAUAAUUUGCCUAUAUAUACCCAUCGCCGUGGCAGAGCGCUCUGCUUUUUCUGGCCGGCGAGGCGAGGGCAUUUGGGUGCUCUAGCCCACCUCCUAUGCACAUGAGGUGUUUGAUAAAAUGCCCGAGCCACACUAGUUAAGCUUUCUCCUCUCGAAGCUCGACCUCGGAGCUCCAUUUUUUCCGAGAUUUGUCUAGAUUUAGCGGUCCGUCACGCCCCAUCCCCGUUUUCACCGCCAUUGAUCGCUCGCACCGAUCUCGUCGCCGGCACCACCGUGGUGAGCCUCUUGUUCUUAUCUUCUUUCUGAUUUUCUUACUUUAGAUAGAUGGCAUUAAUCCUUUCAGGGAGCAGAGCAGCAAUCACAGCACCUGGCCCGUGACUCUAUGUGUGUAUAACCUUCCUCCUUGGAUGUGCAUGAAGCGGAAGUUCAUUAUGAUGCCAGUUCUCAUUCAAGGCCCUAAGCAACCCGGCAACGACAUUGAUGUGUACCUAAGGCCAUUAGUUGAAGAACUUUUACAGUUGUGGAAUGGAAACGGUGUACGUGUGUGGGAUGAGCACAAACAUGAGGAAUUUGACCUGCACGCGUUGCUGUUUGUAACUAUCAACGAUUGGCCCGUUCUCAGUAACCUUUUAGGACAGACAAACAAGGGAUACCACGCAUGCACGCACUGUUUAGCUAACACCGAAAGUAUAUACCUGGACAAAUGCAGGAAGAAUGUGUACCUGGGCCAUCGUCGAUUUCUUCCGACCAAACAUCAAUGUCGAAAGAAAGGCAAGCAUUUCAAAGGCGAGGCAGAUCACCGGAAGAAGCCCGCCAUGCGUAAUGGUGAUCACGUACUUGCUAUGGUCAAUGAUUUAAAAGUAAUCUUCGAAAAGGGUCCCGACAGACUAUCUGUUCCGAGUGACAUUGCGGGACACGCACCCAUGUGGAAGAAGAAAUCUAUAUUUUGGGAUCUACCCUACUGGAAAGACCUAGAGGUCCGCUCUUCGAUCGACGUGAUGCACGUGACAAAGAACCUUUGCAUGAACCUGCUAGGCUUUUUGGGCGUGUAUGGGAAGACAAAAGAUACAGCUGAGGCACGGGAGGACCUGCAACGUUUGCAUGAAAAAGACGGCAUGCCUCCAAAGCAGUAUGAAGGUCCUGCCAGCUACGCUCUUACCAAAGAAGAGAAGGAAAUCUUCUUUGAAUGCCUGCUUAGUAUGAAGUUCCCGACUGACUUCUCGUCGAAUAUAAAGGAAAUAAUAAAUAUGGCAGAGAAAAAGUUCCAGAACCUAAAUUCUCAUGACUGCCACGUGAUUAUGACGCAACUGCUUCCGGUUGCAUUGAGGGGGCUUCUACCGAAAAACGUCCGAUUAGCCAUUGUGAAGCUAUGUGCAUUCCUCAAAGCAAUCUCUCAGAAGGUGAUCGAUCCAGAAAUCAUACCAAGGCUAAGGAGUGAUGUGGUGAAAUGUCUUGUUAGUUUCGAGCUGGUGUUCCCACCAUCCUUCUUCAAUAUCAUGACGCACGUCCUAGUUCAUCUAGUUGACGAGAUUGUCAUUCUGGGCCCCGUAUUUCUACACAAUAUGUACCCCUUUGAGAGAUUCAUGGGAGUCCUAAAGAAAUAUGUCCAUAACCGCGCUAGGCCGUAAGGAAGCAUCUCCAUGGGCCAUCAAACAGAGGAUGUCAUUGGGUUUUGUGUUGACUUCAUUCCUGGCCUUAAGAAGAUAGGUCUCCCUGAAUCGCGGUAUGAGGGGAGACUGACUGGAAAAGGCACGCUUGGAGGGGACUCAAUAAUAUGCAGGGACGGAUAUUCUUGGUCUCAAGCACACUACACAGUACUAAUGAACUCUACCUUGGUGACCCCGUAUGUCGAUGAACACAAGAACAGUCUGCGCUCCAAACAACUGGAGCGGUGCGACGACUGGAUUACAAGUGAACACAUCAGGACUUUCAGUAGUUGGUUGGAAACACGUCUCAGAGGUGAGAACACUGUUUGUGCCGAGCUAUACUCGUUGUCCAAGGGACCAUCUUCGACUGUAUUGACUUACAAAGGAUACGAGAUAAAUGGGAAUACAUUUUACACGAUCACCCAAGAUCAAAAGAGCACCAACCAAAACAGCGGUGUCCGCUUUGAUGCAGCAACCGAGAGGGGAAUAUAGACAUAUUAUGGUUACAUAGUGGACAUAUGGGAACUUGACUACGGACAUGAUUUUAAGGUCCCUUUGUUUAAGUGCAAAUGGGUCAAUCUGUCAGGAGGCGGGGUACAGGUAGACCCACAGUACGGAAUGACAACAGUGGAUCUGAACAAUCUUGGGUACACUUACGAACAGUUCGUCCUAGCCAAUGAUGUGGCACAGGUUAUCUAUGUGAAGGACAUGUCUACCAAACAGAGAAAAAGAAGAGAUAAGGAAGCGAAUACAUCAUACGAUGAGCCAAAGCGCCACAUAGUUCUUUCAGGAAAAAGGGACAUCUUGGGAGUGGAGGGCAAGACAGACAUGUCCGAAGAUUAUGAAAAGUUUCAUGAAAUUCCUCCCUUCAAAGUCAAGGCUGACCCAAGCAUCCUGAUAAAUGAUGAAGAUUAACUUUGGUUACGGCGCAAUAAGGAAAGGACACAAGCGAAGAAAAAGUAAAGACUUUCUCCACAACUAUUAUGAUGAUACCAUGCCAACUUUCAACCUUUUCGUAGUUCAUUUGAAAUGCAUGUUGUAACAGACAAGUUUCCGUAUGAAAUCCUGAUACUUCGAAAGAGAUUGUCCAUUUUGUACACGAAGUGCAUCCAGUUUUUGCUGUAACCCUCUCAACUUUCUUGCAUAUGAUGUGGAUGAAAUGAUGAUACCAUGCCAAAUUGGAACCUUUUUAGAGUUUAUUUCAAAUGCUUUUCAAUUUCAUGGUCUUAUAGCUCAAAAUAAUCAGUAAAUGCAUGAAAAAUAACAAAUGAAGUCAGAAAGGGUUGUAAAUUGAUGAUGUGGCUUUGAAUGGUGCAUUUUGAACACCGAAAAACUAUGGAGUUCAAAUAAGUUCAAAAAUGGAAUCCCUUUGUAAGAGACGAGUUUCCGUAUGAAACCCUGAAACUUCGAAACACAUUGUCCGUUUUGUACACGAAGUGCAUCCAGUUUUUGCCAUAACCCUCUCAACUUUCUCGCACAUGCUAUGUGGGUGAAAUGAUGAUACCAUGCCAACUUGGAACCUUUUUAGAGUUUAUUUCAAAUGCUUUUCAAUUUCAUGGUCUUCUAGCUCAAAAUAAUCAGUAAAUGCAUGAAAAAUAACAAAUGAAGUCAGAAAGGGUUGUAAAUUGAUGAUGUGGCUUUGAAUGGUGCAUUUUGAACACAGAAAAACUAUGGAGUUCAAAUAAGUUCAAAAAAAAUGAAAUCCUUUUGUAAUAGACGAGUUUCCGUAUGAAACUCUGAUACUUCGAAACAGAUUGUCCGUUUUGUACACGAAGUGCAUCCAGUUUUUGCCGUAACCCUCUCUACUUUCUCGCACAUGCUAUGUGGGUGAAAUAAUGACACCAUGCCAACUUGAAACCUUUUCAGAGUUCAUUUCAAAUGCCUUUCAAUUUCAUGGUGGCUUUUAAAUUUCAUAGUGGCUUUUCAAAGAGUAAGAAGAUGUCAACGACAAACAAGAAAAAUGCUGCGAAGAAGAAGCAUCACCAUCGCACGGGGUCAGGUGGCUAACUCAAAGCCCGACCUUUGUGGGACAAGGCUGAGAAUGACCUGAUUGCUAAAGGGGUCGAACCAGAGACAUUGAACUGGCGAGACCAUUGCCGGACUUGGUUCUUCGGGGUUGGCGGAACCUUGGACCCUGUAUCAGGGAAGUGCGUUUGGACGGAAGAGCAACUAUGAAUACCGUCACGAGGCUUAAGGAGUAUAUCGAGAAAGCGCAGCAAGGGACGUUCUUUCCAGACAGAGAGAAGGACGAGCUCACAAUGGCCCUCGGGAAUCCUGAGCACCCUAGACGGACACGAGGUACGCCAGGCUCUGUUCCGUGGAAGGUUGGGUUUCCGGACACAGGGGGUUACAAAUGCCAGGAGAGGAGGAAGAAAGUGGAGCAUAGCCAACUGCACGCGCUGCACGAAAAGGGUACAAGGGCUAGAGGAACGAGAAGCAGAUCGCAGCAAACGACCUGCCGAAUCUUCCCUUGAAGCUACCCCGCCAUCUCAGCGGAGAAGCAGCGUGGCUUCCACCGAGCAGACUCGGCAGCUGGAGGCUGUCUUCAUGGUUCCUGCUAGCUACCCCGUGGAUGCUAUCACGGAGUCUCAACAUUGCCACCUUAUGGCGCGAUGGAUGACAUUGAAAGUCAAGGCGGCUGUUGGCUCUGUUUUACCUACUGAACCUGGCACAACCUACCACGGCCGGUCGAUUCCAGAAGGAUAUGCUAGGGUGAUGGUGGAUCAAAUAACGGACGGAUUUGAGGACCUUGAGCUUGACCACCCUACGGGUAAAGGGGAGAUUCGGCUGGGUUCUUCUCUGAAGACUUCAUGCCUAUGGCGGAAGGAGCUCAUCAACCUUCCGAACUGGACGCCUCCGCCUCCUCCUCCGGCAAGUGAUCAGGGCACUCAGCCUCCUUCUCCGGCGCGUAGCGGCACUCCGCCCCCUUCUCCGCCUGCGCCGGCGCGCCCGAGCAGCCAGCCUCCUCCUUCUCCGCCUCGUCAACAAGGGCGAAAGAGACCCGCCGCCGCUCCGGCUGCUCCGCCGCAUCGUCCUUAUCCUCCGCCUCGUAAGAAAGGAAAGUCAGCCGCAGCCUCUCCGUAUGCUCCGGCGUCUAGCAUACAUCCAGAGGCAGGCAAUACAGAUACAAUCCUUCUCUGAAGACUCCAGAGAAGUUACCAUACGAGAGGAGCGAGGAGGAAAACACGAAGAUCGUGCAAGCCGAAGUGAACAACUUCUUUGAAGGGGUGAAAGCAAAGAAACAUCCACCUCAGGAGGAGAAGAUAGAUCUGGUAAAAGCGAAGCGUACUUUGGCUGCCCAGAAGAAACCACCAAAGUCUCCGGUGAAAGCCAACUAUGAGCGCACUAUUACAAAGUCAUUUAUCGAAGCGGAGCGGUCGGGAAGUACUGUCAGUGGUCAAAGGUUAGCAGAACGACGAGCUGGGAAAAAAGUUGCCCAGCUCGGCGAACAAGCGAACCAAUCGUUCCCCCCGCUCAAGGUGUCUAGCGAUAUCGUCGCUAAUCAUUCGGGGAUCUUGCCCGGUACCAAUCCUGCAGAUUACCUGCCCGACGAUGCACAUUUCGAUUUCUUGGAGGUGGACGAACACAAAUAUGUGUACGGAAAGCCUCUCAUCAAAGAUGAAAGAUCUCUAACAAUGAUGAUGCGAAGAUUCCAUGAUUGGUACAUGAAAACCUGCACAGAGUCUGAGGGGAGUAAUAUUUUGACGCUGAGAGUUAGAGAGGCGCAUGACCUCGUUGGAAUUGAACUGUUGAAUGUUCCAUUUGAGGAGUUCUUCGUGUUUUUCAAUCUAAAGGCCCUCGAUAAAUUAAUGAUCACUUGCUACUGCUUGUAAGUAGUACUAUUUCUAUCAUUGAGUCUCUAUAUAUAGGUCAUCUCUUUCAUUAUUUUUAAUUAUCCUCACUAUAUUAUGCAGAUUGAAGAUCGCCGAAUUGAAGAAAAGACAAAUCGGUGAUAUUGGGUUCAUUAACACAAAUCUCAUAGAUGCAUUUAUGGUUGAAUUUCAGGCCAAAGAUACCGAGGCCAAGCUGCUACAAUCGUUUGUAUUGAAUCAAAACAAAGCUAUAAUAUUUUUCCCUUACGAAUUCCAGUGAGUAUUACUGUCUUGUGCAUAUUCGGUUUCCGUUAUUAGUCAAGGUUAUAGUAAUGUAAUUGAUGAGUUAUGCAUGCGUGCGCAGCUUCCACUAUAUUCUCCUAGAGAUUAAGCUUGAGUAGGGAAUAGUAACCGUCUUAGACUCGAGACGAAAAGAUCCCAAGGAGUAUGCGGACAUGACCGAAAUUCUAGAGAAGUAAGUUAAAUCGAUCAUUAUCGCACCAUAUCGGCAACUUUGUUCAUUUCCUGAUAUCAAGUAAUUGUUUUCUUUGUCUGGCGGGGUUUGGAAAAAAUUCACCUCAAAAACUACGGGACUGCCGAAGAAGCUGCAAUUUAGACACCCGAAAGUAAGUACUAUAGUAGCAUGUUCCUAGUGAUUCAAGCGCUAGUUUCAUCAAUACCAUUUAGCAUGCUUGCUAACUAUCAGUUUGAUUGACCUCUAUUUCUUGUAAAGUGGUUGUGGCUGGAACCAGGGAAUGAUUACUGUGGAUACUACAUUUGCGAGUCCAUCCGUCACACGACCUGUGAGCGGGGCUACUCUGACAAACAAUAUGAAGUGCGUAAAUAAUAAUAUUCACAAUUUUAUUUUAUUACCAUCAUUUGUGUUCAGUUUCAUUUAUUCAUAUAUAUGUAUUGACCCCCUUCUUCAAAUUAGAUAUUUCAGAUGCGGGAUGAACUCCUACCACCAGAUCGUAUGCGAGGAAUUCAAGAGGAAUUGGCGGCAUUCUUUCUUGACCACGUGAUCGCUAAAGACGGAGAAUACCAUGUGGACCCUAAUCAGUUGGUUUUUAUAAUUAGGAGAUUAUAUUGUAAGAGAUAAUUAUAUUAUAUAUAUGUAGCCAGUAGCGUCGGAUAGAUAUUCGAGAACUUGUUGUUCGACCAAUCUCUCAGAGAAGGAGAUGUGGUCGAUAUCACUUCUCUCCGUAUGCAUAUGUUCAUGACGAUCUUCUGUUUCCUUCAUUUACUUACUAGCUAGCGUGUCUAGUCCUCCCUAUACGUAUAGUACGUAGCGUCGACCAAGCACGGAGAUAAGAGAGGACAUUUCUCUCUAUUAAUUAGCUAGCUAACACAAUAUAUGAAACACCUAAAUUAACCCGCCAAAACCCCCAACCCCCCCCCCNNNNNNNNNNNNNNNAAAACCCCAGCACCUGAAAUGCUGACACGUGGAUGCCUAUUGGUCCCGGUUGAUGCCACCAACCGGGACCAAAGGGCCUCCUGCCUGGGUUCGCCGCACCGGCCACGUGGAGGCCCAUCUGUCCCGGUUCGUGUAAGAAUCGAGACUAAAGGCCAAGGGCAUUUGUAAUGACUUUUUUGUCCCGGUUCCAAAACCGGAACAGAAGGCCCUUACGAACCGGGACAAAAGGCCCUUUUUCUACUAGUGUCCCUCCGUUCCUAAAUGUAAGUCUUUCUAAAGAUUCCACUAGAGGAAUACACAAGGAACAAAAUGAGUGAAUCUAUACUUUAAAGUGUGUCUAUAUUACUAUAUAUAUCCGUAUGUAGUCUUCUAAUGAAACCUCUAAAAAGACCUAUAUUUAGGAAGGGAGGAAGUAGAUGACUAUCACUUCUCAUGCCAUUAGCAUUGGCUCUUGUGUGACCCGGGGAGCUCUCCAUUUCCCUUAGUUUUUUUUCAUCCUACACCUACCUCUUAAGCCUCUCAAGAUGGAAGAAAUUCCUAGCGCAAGUCAUUCGAAAACAACUACCCAAAGUGCAGCAUAUCACGCUUCUGCUUUUCCAAAUUAACUACCUGCAGAAAAAAAACCCCAGCAAACACAGGUCUGCCAGGCUUUUACUUUCCUGAAUUUGUUGUUGCUCGAUAAUAUUUUCUCAGAUAAGCAAAUAUAGGGGAGACAGAAGUGUGUGUUGCCAUAGUUUACGCUGAAAGCAAAAAAUGUUUGGCAAAAGAUCAACUGUAGAACCAUUGCAAAUAAAGAGCAAGCUCAGUAGCGCCUCUGCGUUUUAAGAAAGAAAUGCAGAGGAUCCACUUACCAUCCAGACGCUUGUAUAUAUUUGCCAUUCUCCUAAAAUGCUAAAAUCUAUAUACAUGUUUUUCCCGUUCUACUCACUGCCAUAAGCACUAGCUGCAAGGUCAAAAAUAUUCUACGAAUUUGUUUCUCCUCUGAACCUUUGACCGUAUAAAGUCAGAGCAGAAGAGUAAAAAAUGAAUAAUGCUAGUCUGCUCUAGGGUUCAACCAUCCACAGAAAGGCACCAAUUUACGUUGAGAUUCUUGUAAGCUUGGUGAAACAGCAUAAACCAAACAGCAGGAUUUAUGUUGUCGUUGUCAGCCUGAUUUCUUGGCUGUCAACCUUCAGUUCAUCUUCCUUAACAGUAGACUGAACAUCAUCUGGGAUGCAAAUAUCAAGGUCAAUCACUUUGUUAGCCCUUGAAGAGAAAAAGAAGUUAUCACUGUAGUUCCUAAGAAAGAAAAAAAUUAUGGACACCUUGACAUGGCAGACAACAAAAUAUUUUGGCAUGUGCAUAUCACUGUAGUAACUGUGGCAUUGACAUUGCAUUAUUCACGGGAGUACAGAGGUAAAAAUGAUCAAGACGUUUUUAAAAAAAUGAAGCUUCUUAUUUUGUAUUAUAUUUUUCAUCUCAUAUACAGGCAAACAAGUCCAAUCAUUCAUAUCCCACUUUGAGCUGAUCUACACAAAUUUCACUCAUCAUAUUUUUUUCUUCAUAAAAUGAGGAUUCAAAAGUCAUCCAAGGUAUGAUUAGAAAGACUAAUCAGAUAGGAUGAGUCUUGGUUUACCUGAGGCUCCUGUCAUUGGGUCAUCAACUCCUUUCAGGAUGUUAGGCUCUGUCUUUGGUUGCUCAGACUGUUCUGGGUUAUCUAGAUUUUCACAGCCAAAGAAUUAGCUCAGGAUAACUGUUAAGCGCAUCAACCAAAUAACAAUAAAAUCACAUAUUACCUGAUGGUUCCUUACAAAUAUGUUGGUUGCUAUUAGCAGCAUUUGAGUGUUCUUUGUAGCCUGACAAAAUAUCACCAUUAAUUGUUCAUUAAAAAGCCAUUUACUCAUUAAGGGAAUGAGCAAGCAUACAGGGCCUAAGGUGAUACCUGAUGUUAUAUCAGUCUCACCCAUGGCAGCUGGAGAACCACGCGGAGAUUGGCCUGCCAAAAUAAGAUCCAAAAUCAUGACAGAUGAAUUGAACUCUUCUCCAUAUUAGAGGUAGCUUUCAUUCAAAUUUUUAAUUGCAUAAAACUUAGAUUAACCUAGUGAUUCCUUCAUAACUACAUCUACAAGAAUAGUAUUCGGUUUUUCAGGUAAUCAAGUGCUGAGCAUUAACAUGAAGUUUCCUGAGUCAUGCAUAACAGACAGGGUUGACAAGUUUCUGAACUUGUCCUGGGGAAAGACAGAUUAGGAUUUCAGGUCAAUGUGGUUUUGAUCUGAACUUCAGCAUACCUGAUGAGUCCUUGCUUCCACUUGAAGAUUCAGAAUCACUGUUAAACUCAGGGACAGAUUUUCCUUCAACAUGCACAUCUUGAUCCACGUGUCUGCAUGAUACUAAUACAGGUUGAGCGGAUUUAACUGGCACCACAGUAGCUGAUGGUUCUUGGCUCAAAGAUCCAGUGUCUUGCUUAGGCAAAGGCCUUGAUACAUUCCCAGAUAUAAUCGAAACAGGUGCUGCUGCAACAACCCCAGAGCCAACGUAAGGUCUUGGAGCGGGAGGAGGGAUGAUGAACUUAAGAGUAGAUGUCUCCACAGGCCUCCUCAUCUGAAGAGGCUUUGCAAUUGUAACAUUCUCCAAGUGGACUGGUAAGGGAGGAGCAGCUUGUCUGUGGAUUGCAGAUGCUUUCUUCUGAAGUUGACUUGGCUGGAGCAUGGGGAGGUCAGGGGCAAGAUCAUCCUUCGGUGUUAUUGGGCGUAGGUUAGUUUCAUCUGGGAUCCAACCUCUGAGCACCUGAUUGUCCUUCACUCUCACCGUGAUAAGAGAAAACCCAGGACAUUGCUUGGUCAUCUUUCCAACAAAAUGCUUGCCAACGAUAACAUCCUUGCCUACAUUGCCUCGCACAUGAGCACUGCUACUGUUGGAGGCUUGAUUUUCACGAAAUUUGACUGUAGUACCAGAAUCUACAGGUCGGCUGGGCCUAUAACCCUGAGUCUGCUGUGCAGGCAGCACAUGAACUGUAUGCAUUUUAGUGUCAAGAGUACCACCUAACGGGUGGUUAAUGUGCACCCCAUCAUGUCGGAUAUUUGGGUUAUACAAUGCGCUGCGAAGAGGUGGAAUGCUCUGAACGGGCUGUGCCAUGUGAGGUUGUUCAUAUGUAGAAUACUCGUACUUCCUUGGGCGACCACGCUUACGCUUUGUGCCAGAGCUUGCGGGUGGCUCAAUGGGCAGCGGUUCAUUAGGCGCAGCAGCUUUAUUCCCUUCUGAUGUCAUCUCUACUGGCUUGCUUCAACCUUUUGCAGCUACAACUGCACCCAAGAGUGCUGGGACUACCCUGUUGGUUUGAAUUUAUCUUGAAUCAGAACAACAGUUUUUCUUUACAAAGGAGGCAAGAACUGUGCCAAUAACUGAAUGGAAAAAAAGGCAGUUUUCUCAUGACACUGUUUUCAGAAGCCACAUGGCUACAGUUUGCAAUCAAUGAUUUAAACUGCAUCUUGACAAUACAAGUGUACACAAGCCAGUCAAUUGGAUGCUGCUACAAACUUACAAGCCAUAUUUUUCCAUAAAAGAAACCUAAUAUAUCCCACAUUAAAAAAAAAAUACUUUCCUUGCGCAAGACCUCACCGAGUGGCUUGAAGCCUACGCACACAUCUUAAAUUCUAAACAGUGAGCUCCUAGAACAUACGUACAUGUCCUGGACAUAAAACGCUUGAUGCUGACAUCUAACUUGCCAAUUCGUAUCGAAAUCCCAUCCGACACGACCAGAGCCUUAGAAAAAAAAUCGAACCAAUAUCCCGGUCAAUCUAGAAAAUCAUUCCCAUCCCAUCCCAUCUCGUCCCACCAUGUGGCACGGCCCAACGCAUCAUGGGGGCAGAGCAAUACGGAGCAAAACAGAGGAACGCCGAGCCAAUCCGAGAGUCUCGGAGAACCGAUCGAACGACCUCGGAAAAAUAAAACCGGAACAAGCAAGCAAACAAGCGACGCAGUUGGGCGAGGCGCAGGCUUAUACAGAUGGGAGUGCGCGAUUACCCCUGAAAUCUUGUCCUCUCCGCGCGCGCGCCGUCGCCUCUGGGAGGAGAGAUGAUCGCGACGAGUCCGCUGGCGGGGGAGGAGGCGGAGGAAGGGAAGCUGCGGAUGGGGGGCGGAGGAGCUCGGGGGCUAGGGUUCUCGUCGNCUGCCGUUGUCCGGCCCGCGGACGUGGGUGGAUACCACAUGGGCCGACUGUUCUCUGCAGGCCAUAAUUAAGGAGGGCCAUCUNNNNNNNNNNNNNNNNNNNUUUUUUGCUUUCAGUUGGUUCCUAAAAUCUGCUGAACUAUUAUUUUUUAUACUACUAUGAAAAUGAUUAUUUGGGUGUUUGGUUGUCUUUUUUGUUUUAGGGGAACGUUGUUGUUUUAUUCAAAGUUCAUGAAUGAUCUCCGAGCUAACACACUCGGGAGACAAGCGGACCCAGGGGUUUACACAACGACUAAGUACACCCCUCCUAGCUAGGACAUGUGCGACUUUAUUAGCUAAUCAUCGUACCAAAGCAACCCUAAACUCAAAAAAAUAGUGAAGUAACUCUUUAACCUCGUCGACUAGCUGCCUAUUUGUAGAGAAAUACCUUUGUCUGUUUCUAAUCUUGCUUACCGGUACUUGGGAGUUUGUCUCAAGAAUAACCUUGUAGAUGUUAAGUUGUUUCGCAAAAAUAAGGGCCCACCGACACGCCAACAACACCGCCACCUCAGUAUCAUGAACGGAAGGGGAAAAAUGGCAUGCGCCUACAAGGAACUUGCCAUGGUCAUCCCUAUGGACACCCCCUCCCCUCCCGAUUUUUUAUGUUUUGCCAUAGCACUGCCAACAUUAGCUUUGAUCCAUCCUUCAGCUGCCUUUUUUCAUUGCUCCAAGGUCUUCCUUUCUCUCUGUUGAGCUAUUCUAUCAUGCACACACUUCCAUUCAACAGCAAGUUGAAGCACUCAUUCACAUAAACUUCACGGGUCUUCCAUUCUGCAAAAGUUGCCGUCAUUUCAAUAAUGUCUAUAAAUAGGCCAUGUUCAACGAAGGAUGUCUACGAAGGCCAAAAGACUCUGUGUGAGAUCAUGUUAUUUCUCGACAUUCAUGAAAUUAUUCCAAUUUUUUCAUGCCUUCUUUGACCAAUUCAAGUCACCAUACGAAGUUGUUUGUGUUUUCCAUAACUUUUACAUUUUCUUUAUUUUUCUCGUUGAAAAAAGGCUGAUACAUGGUCGGACGUGUGAGAACAUGCAUACGGUGUCGGAAGUCAUUCAAACCUAGCAUAUGAAUGCCUACCAUGGGCAUCCCAUCUGGUGGAAAAACUUGGAGGUCAUUUCAAGGAUUUCCUAGAAACACACUGCUCAACAACGAGGUUGUUCGGGUAGGCUAGAAUGCACAAUUUGAGGGCAUAUUUUCUAGCAUCUGUUAAAUGAUCCCAAUUUUUUACAUUGCCUUGUACCAAUUCAAGUCACCAGGUUGAUACUUGUGAUCUGCAUUGGGUUUUCCGUGAAGAGGAACGGGUGAUGAAGCACAAUAUAGGUAAGUAUUUUCCUUAGUAGAAAACCAAGGUUUAUCGAACCAAUAGGAGUAACUGUCAACCCCUGUCUUCAGCAAAUACACACAAGAGGAAACAACUUGCACCCAACGCAUGCAGGAGGGUUGUCAAUCCCCUUGGACUCGUUAUUUUAAAGCUUUAAGUAGUGUGGUUGGUUGUAGAUAAUUAUAAGUUACAAAAUAAAAUAAAAGGUAAAUAAGAACAACGAGGUAUUGUAGGUUUGUAAACUUAUAAAUGAAUAGACCCGGGGGCCAUAGUUUUCUCUAGUGGCAUCUCUCAUGAAAGUAACCAUACGAUAGUAAACAAAUUAAUGUUGACCAAUUGAUAGAAAAGCGCAUAGUUAGGUCCUAUUCACGAUAAUGAUCAUGUGUAUGUAGGCAUCACGUUCAUAAGAAAAUAGGUUGACUCCUGCCUGCACGUAUUAUUAUUACUCCACCCAUCGACCACUAUUCAUCAUGAAUCUAGAGUAUUAAGUAAAACAGAGUAAUGCAUGGAGAAUGAUGACAUGAUGUAGACAAAGAGAAUUCAAUUAAUAUGAACUAACCCCAUUGUUUUAUCCUUAGUGACAACAAUACAAAUACGUAUCUUGUCCCUUUCUAUCACUGAGAUAUAGAAAUCUGUCAGAUUGAACCCACUACAUCGCACCCCUCCCACUGAAGAAAGAUCAAUCUACUUCACCAAAGCAAAUCAAUAGAUCGGAGAGAUUUACGAAGCUGUGAUGAUGAUGCACAUAAGAAUCAUUUUUAGAAUUCAAAGGAGACACCAAUAUUUAUCAUGAAUAAUCUGAACAUAAACCCACAAUUCAUCGGAUCCCAACAAACACACCGCACAAAAGAAUUACAUCGGAUAGAUCAAAGCGAAGAUGUGAUGAUCGUUAUAUUGAAGAUCAAGAGAGAGAUAGACAUCUAGGUACUAACUACGUACCCGUAAGUGUGUGGUGAACUACUCACACAUCACCAUGGGAGCAACAAUGAUGAUGUAGAGUACCUCCGUGAUCGAUCCCCCCUCCGGCAGGCCAUCGAAACAGGGCUCCAAAUGGUCACACGAUGGAACAGAGACUUGUGGCGACGUAAAAAGUGUUCCGGGUGGCUCUCUAGGGUUUUUGGGGUAUAUGUAAAUUUAUAGGACGAAGAGGUACGUAAGGAGGCAGAUGAGGGUAGCAUGAGGCAACAGGGCGCGCCCUAGCCCCUGGUCGUGCCCUGUUGGCUCGUGCCUCCCUCGUGAGGCCUCUGGCCUCCUCCCGAAGCUUCCAAGUCUUUUUUGGUCCACAAAAAAUCAUCAUUUUGUUUAUAAAAAUUGGACUUCGUCUGGUACUGUAACUUGAAAAGCAAAAACAUGCAGAAAAAAGCAACUCACACUCGACAAUGGUGUCACGCCCAAGAUGCGACCCUAUCCUCAAUUUGGCACGAGGGCCUCGUCAGGGAUAGAAGCGCAUCUCGUCGUGUCGCAAGAAUGGAUAUCGUCACAAGUACAUGUACUGAAAAGAAGAGAUAUAUAUAAAGAAUUGGCUUACACUCGCCACAUGCUACAUCAGAGUUACAUCAGUACAUUACAUAAUCAUGAAGAGUAAGAGCAGGGUCCGACUACGGACGAAAAUAAACGACAAAAGAAGAACGACGUCCAUCCUUGCUAUCCCAGGCUGCCGGCCUCGAACCCAUCCUAGAUCGAAGAAGAAGGAGAAGAAGAAUCAACUCCAAAUGUACAAUCAACGCGCUCGCGUCAAGUAACCUUUACAUGUACCUGCAACUGGUGUUGUAGUAAUCUGUGAGCCACACGGGACUCAGCAAUCUCAUUUCCAAAGGUAUCAAGACUAGCAAAGCUUAAUGGGUGAGGUAUGGUUAAGUGGUGAGGUUGCAGCAGCGACUAAGCAUAUAUUAGGUGGCUACACUUACGAGUACUAGAAAUAAGAGGGGGGAGAUCUACGCAUAGCAGACGUGAACUACUGUUGAUCAAAUAAAUGAUCCUGAACACCUACCUAUGUCAGACGUAACCCCACCGUGUCCUCGAUCGGAGAAGGAACUCACGAAAGAGACAGUCACGGUUACGCACACAGUUGGCAAGUUUUAAUUAAGUUAACUUCAAGUUAUCUAGAACCAGUGUUAAACAAAGUUUUCACGUUGCCACAUAACCACGGGCACGGUUUUCCGAAAGAUUUAACCCUGCAGGGGUGCUCCAACUAGCCCAUCACAAAUUACCACAAGCCGCAUAGAAAUCCUCAAUCACGAAGCUCGCGAUCUUGUCGGAUUCCCUAGUGGAAAACCUCAACUCUGAGAUUACCCAAAGCAUCACCGGAAUCCCGAUGCACAAGAUAUUCCGUCACAGGUAAAACUAAUCCAGCAAGGCCGCCCGACGUGUCGACGAUCCCGAUAGGAGUCGCGUACCUCGUUCUCAGGACACGACGGAUGAGCUAGACGUCGGGAUCGCUAAACCUCCGGGUGACCUGAGGGGCGCCCGACAUCGCUCAGGUGGGGCCAACACUCAUGAGGAGCACUGGCCCGGGGGUUGAUUAAAUUAUCCUCGGGGUCCGGAAAGUCUCUAUGCAAUUUUAUUAGGUGUUUAGGCAAAUGUAGUACCAAAGUUGGGCCUUGCCAGACCAGCUUUAAUCUAAAACGAAUUAUCAAGGGGUCCCCAUAACAACCCCGAUCGUGUUAGGAGCACUCAAUUAUGGAACAUAACAACGGUAGCCGGAAACUAAGGGGGCAAAGGUGGAACAAGACACCAGGCUAGAAAGGCCGAGCCUUCCACCUUUUACCAAGUAUAUAGGUGCAUUAAAUUAAAUAGCAUUUAAAUAUGGUGAUAUAACAAGGAACCCAUGUUCUCACAUGAAAGCCACUGCACGUGCAACUAGCAACGCUAUCAACAAGGUUAAGCAAGCAGGAACAUAGCCAAUCAGUGGUUUGCUAGGUCGAACAGGUUGAAGGUUAUCAUGGCAUUGUUGAUAGGCUGAUAUUUAACAUGUGAGGCAACGAGACAUAAUCGAUAGCAUCGAAAUAACUAGCAUGGCAAUGAUAGUAAUGGUAUCUAGGGAAAUGGUCAUCUUGCUUGAGAUCCCGCUUGGAAGAAGAAUGACUCCGUGAAGCAGACGAACCGACGUAGUCGAACGGGUCCUCACAUCCGACACGCUUGCGGAACUCUAUCGAGACGGGGAAAACCGGAACAAGCAUCAACACACGAUAUUCACAACACGAUGCACAACACACAUGAUGCAUGGACAGGCUGAAUGCAAACAAGUCACGGCAAGACAAUUCACGACAAACAAACAGUACACAUUAAGUGAAGUUUAAUAUGCAACGAGUUGCAUAUUAACGAAACUCCACGUUUAUUAUUCAGUUCUAUCCCGAUUAGAUAGUCGGCAAUAUUAAAUGUGAUUAAACAUGGCAAGAGGUGAGACGUAAUUAAACUACUUAUCUAGGCAUUUUAAAUGAGGUCGGAAAUGACAUAUAGCACCUCCGAAACGACCUCACAUGUUAAUUUACAGUUCUGUCCAGAUCUGAACUAAUGCAUUUAAUUAGUUGUUAAACAGCAAAACAAAUAGGUUCACGUGAUUCUACGCGUCGAGACAAGCAAACUAGACAUAAAGAACAUCUCCAACGGAGCUACGGUUCAAAAGAUACAAGCACCGCAAGAUAUGAUGGCAUGAAUGCAAUAUGUGUGCAACGACGGUCACGAGCACUUAAAAACAUACAACCAAUAAGAGAAAAUGAAACUACACGAGAUUCUAAGCAAGUUUCAUGUAGGACACGAUCAAAUCGGAGCUACGGAUCGACAACUACGAGCAAAACAAGAAAUGACUACAAUCUGCCAAAAUCAGCCACAUAGCAUUUUCUACACCCCACAACUACGGACUACACAACUCCGAUAUAAUCAACCAAGGCAUGACACGAAAGAGGGUAAGAAGCACUACAACAAACAACUAACAACAACUAGCAUGGCAUCAUGGAUCACUAGAGAAAGAAGUCACAAAAUGGCAUCCCACACACUAUUUCAGACUUAGUGAAAAUUACACCUCAUGGAAGUGCGGUUUUCGAUCUGAAGCUAUAUUGACAACAGAAAAAACUAUAGCUACAGGACUCCAAAUGGCAUGAAAAUUCACAGCAUGCUAGAGAAACACUAGGGGUACAACUAACUCUAUUGGACCAACCUCAAAAGAGCUACAGAUCACAAGAUGCAAGCAAGAUAAGACAGCAACAAAAAUAAUAACAGAUCCCAGACUUAGAAAUAUUUCAGCAUGUCCAAAACAGCACUAUUUCUAGCAACUUGAGGGCAAUCAAAACACACCUAAACAUGCAUUUCUAUUUCAUCUAAAAAUACCAGGGGCUACUCUAAACACCCAGGAACAAUUCCCUAGUUGACAACUUAAGCAAACGGAGCACGGAAUAAAUCCUACGAAUUAAACAAAAGGGCAUCACGGUGAAAUAUCGCGCGAACUAACUUACUCAAAAGCUAAAACUAAUUGCACAGAAAAAUCCCAUGGAUUUUUCUACCCCGAAAACAUAUAAAAUAUGUGGGGUUGCAACACAAAAUAAAGCCACACAUAAAUACGAGAAAAUAACCUAUACGCGGAAAAAUAAAUUAGCGGCAAUUCCCUACACGCAAAAAUACAAAUGACCGCUCUAAAAUGCAUGGAAAAAAUGGUCCCUAAAACAUAGGCAUUUUAUCUAAGGUACUCGAGCAAUCCGGACCACAAGAAAAAAUAAUUACGGGACGCAUCCUAUUAAAACAGCACGCUAAACGACGUCAAACAUUUAUGCAAGUUGGAUAGUCGUAUUCUACGCGAAAUUCUACGCCAAAAUCAUAUACAAUACAUCGCGAUCCGAUACACGGUUAAUUAACUACGGCCGUUUUAAUAUCUAUAUAAAUCCUGGAAUAACUAAUUCGAGAACUCUGAAAUAAAAACCUAUUGGGCCGAAUUCUACAAGACUUGGGUCUACUCACAACGAGCGCAUAAUAGUAAAUCUACGCUGGGGGCGCAACAAAGGGGGGCCAGGGCACUCUCACCUUCGGGCCUGGGGAGAGGAGACCUCUUGGGCCGGCGGUUGCAGGGAGGCCGAAGGUGGCCUGGCUCGGGGAAGGCCAUCGGGCCUGCUGGAGGGCGAGCUGGGCCGGAUCUCGGGCUGGCCAGCUCGGGAUCCCGNNNNNNNNNNNNNNNNNNNNNNNNNNNNNNNNNNNNNNNNNNNNNNNNNNNNNNNNNNNNNNNNNNNNNNNNNNNNNNNNNNNNNNNNNNNNNNNNNNNNNNNNNNNNNNNNNNNNNNNNNNNNNNNNNNNNNNNNNNNNNNNNNNNNNNNNNNNNNNNNNNNNNNNNNNNNNNNNNNNNNNNNNNNNNNNNNNNNNNNNNNNNNNNNNNNNNNNNNNNNNNGCCCGGGGGCCAGCCGUGGGCUCGCGGGCCCGACGGCGCGAGGAGGAUGUGGGAGGAGGCUGCGGGAAGAUUAGGGUUUCAGGGGCGCGGAUCUCGAGGGGAUUAGGUUUUGCUUUCUAAAAAAGGCACAGGGGGCUAUUUAUAGGCAAAAGGGGGGCUAGGUUAACCGAAAUCGCGUUCCGGAUCCAACCGUAGGGUCGGAUUCGAACGAUUCUGCACGCGGGAACGGGUACGCGGCCGUGUAGAGGGGAUAUCCGGAGACGAGAGGGAGAACGGGCGGCACGACAACGGUUUUUAAAACACCGACAGACAUCCGACGAAUAACCGAAGACGGUGCCGCUACGGUCGACCGUUCGGGUACCAGACGGACUCCGAUCGCGACGAAAUUCGACAGGCGUCCUAGCUAUAUUAAAAUAAGACCGCAUGUCAAAUCUCAACCCGAUUAGAGAAAGUUUUACGCACACUUUUAAAACAGGGUUUCGAUGGUGCCGCGGGCGCGUGCGAGUGCGGUCGGACUCAGAGCGGACAACGACGAGAACCGGCAACUACUAACGAAUGCAAGUUUGAAAACUGACGGCAACGAGAUGCCGGUGUAAUGCAGAUGAUGCGCAUGAUGCGAUGAUGAUGCGACAAAAAGAAAUAGACACACGACGAAAACGGAAUAGAAGGGAAUCUUCUGGAACGUCGGCAUCGGGCUGUCACAAAUGGUUAAUAGGUUAGUGCUCAAAAAUCAUAUUAAGUGGUAAAUAAAUUCCAAAAACGUAUCCUAUAAUAACAAUAUAAUAGCAUGGAACAAUAAAAUUUAUAAAUACGUUGGAGACGUAUCAGCAUUCCCAAGCUUAUUCCUGUUCGUCCUCGAGUAGGUAAAUGAUAAAAAAAUGAUGUGACAUGCUACCCAACAUGUAAUCUAUUGCAGGUUCAAUUACCUAAAUGUUCUCGGAGUUUAUCUCGAUUUUACUGCAUCCUACUGUUCGAACAAGAUUCAUGCCAAACCGAAUAGCAAUUACCUCGGCUGUAAACGAAUCAAAGCAUAUGUCAAUUUUUUCAUUUGCAGUCACUAUGAACCGACCAUUGUGGUCCCUAAUCACAGUUCCAACCGAACCCUACAGUGUAUCCAUAUCAUAUGCAGCAUCAACAUUCAGUUUUACAUACCCGGUUCUAGGCUUCAUCCAUGCUGCCAAUUUCUGCUUGGUUUUGGGUGCACAUGAAAUAAUAUAGUUCGCCGACAAUGCUCUCACGGCCAGGUUUAUUUGAGCAGCGCUUUGGAUAGAUUCGCCAUGAGUUAAUUUUCGUCUUUCGUACCACAAGUACCACGCUGCUGUUGCCACUGCUUCUCUCAACUUUGGCAAGCCUAGAAUAUGAAUAUCAUGAUCUUUUAAGCACAACAAGUGUUCUAGAGUAGCCUCACCGGCCCUGUCCACCAAGCAUGCCUUUUGAAUGAUGUCCUCCAUACCUAAUAAUUUCCACACAUUGGCAGCAAACUUGCACUCAAACAGUAAGUGCUUGACAUUGUCAGGACCUUUUAUUUGGGAAGUAUUUUUGCUUUGAGAAUCCUUGCACACAAAGAAUCCGGAUUAUCAGUGAGCCUCCGAGCCUGUUUUGCCAAUAAAGCCAAAUUAAAGCAGUGAAUGUCUCUAAAUCCCAUUCCAUCUUGCUUUUUUGGAAUACACAUCUUUCACCAUGCGAACCACUGCAUCCUCUUGUGAGUCGCAUCAUCAUCCCACCAAAAAUGAGAUAUCGCAUCCGUGAUUCCUUUGCAAAUUUUUUUGGAAAUUUUAAAGACGGAUAUCGCGUAAGUUGGUAUUGCUUGUGCUACUGACUUAAUAAGGAUCUCUUUUCCUCCUGACGACAUGCAUUUUUCCUUCCAUUCACUAAGUCUCAGGACUAGCCGGUCAAUCAAAUAUUGAAAACUGUCACUUUUUUCAAGCCCAAGAGUAGCUGGCAGUCCUAGAUAUUUGUCAUUCAAAGCUUCAGUCAUUAUAUUCAGAGUAGAGCAAACCUCAGCCUUGAUAUCCACUCAUGUACUAGGGCUAAAAAAGAUACUAGACCUGUCCACACUCACAAGUUGUCCAGAGGCCGCACAAUAUGUGUCCAAGAUAGAUCUCAAGCAGACGGCAUUCUGAUUAUUGGCCUUCAUCAAUAUCAAUGAAUCGUCAGCAAAAAGUAAAUUUUAGUGCAAAAUUGUGUGCAAGUUUAUUUUAACUUUUAUCAUUAUCUUUCUUCUUAAAGUGUAAUACAAAUGCCACUAAUUCUUUGUUUCUUAUAAACUUUCAUUAUUUUGAUUUUGGUUUAGAUAUUAUUUCAUAUUUUCCUCUUUAAGCGAAAUACCAAUGCAACUAAUUUAUUUCUUCUGAGGAUUAUGUUUUGCAAAGAUUCCACUGUUAUAGGCUUAUUCUUGCAUAUUUAUGAGAAGAGUAAAUUUGGUGUAUGUUUGUGCGCAAAUUAUGUCAAGAUAAAUUAGAACUUUGUUUUUCUUUACUCUCCUUUUUUCCCCCCCCCCCCCCCCUUAAAGGGUAUUACAAAAUCAACUAAUUUAUUUCUCUCUUAGAAAAUCUCACUACUUCGAUUUUGUUUAGUUUUUAUAUUAAUUUAUUCUUCUAAAUAGGUAAUACCUAAGUCACUAAUUAACACCUUCUUACGAAAUGUUAUAUAUUUAUUUGAAAGUUCCACUAUUAUGUGCUUAAUUUUGCGUAUUAUUAAAAGCGCAUUUUGGUGUAAAAUAUGUGCAUAUUUUUUGUUAUUUUUCUUUCACUUCCUUUGUUCUUAAAGAGAAAUACCAAUGCCACUAAUUCAUUAUUUCUCAUAAUACUUUANNNNNNNNNNNNNNUUUUUUUAUUUUCUUUCUUCUUUAAGGGUAAUUCCAAUGCCACUAAUUCACUCCUUCUUACGAAAGUUCUUUUGUAUGAAUAUUUUCACUAUUACAUGGUUAUUUUUGGAUAUACACAAAGCACAAUUUUGUGUAAAUUGUUUGCCAAUGUUGUCAUUGUUUUUUUUAGGAUUUUCUUCAUUUUCUUUUUUCUUAAAGGAUAGUACCAAUGCCACAAAUUAAUUUUUAGAAAACUUUGUUAUUUCGACUUUAUUUUUAUUUUUUUGAAAGUAAAUAUUUGUUUUAUGUACUUUUUUGUUUAGGGGUAUUACCAAUGUCACUAAUUCAUUCCUUCUUAGAAAACUUCCUUUUUGUAAAAACUUCUUUGUGCUGUGAAAAUGGACCAUGUUGCGGUCACCUCUAGCAAUGAUGAUGACAUCAUGGAGCAGGAAUUCCGUCGCAACUCCAACUCUUGCAAUAGUACACAUGUUGCAGCACCAACAACGACCCCUCCCCCCUCCCCCGCUCUUUUACAGAAUCCAUCUAUCGACACCCUCAACGCUCUCACAUUGUCACCCCUCGAAACCAUUGUCCUCAACGUACUAGUGUCACCACUCUCAUAGCUCCGACCAUGUCCGCUUAAAGCACAACCAUGCCACCCUCGCAGGUCUCACCUGGAUGCUUGCAGUAACAGUUGAUGUGAUGAUGUCCCUUACUCCCUUAUGCCACCCCUUCCAUCCCCGGGCAUUGCUGUUUGCAACAAUAAGCUUUGCCAUCAAAAGCGAGUGUUUGUUGCAUCCAACGAAGUGUGUGUGGCCAUGAAGGUCGACAGGUAUUCAAUCUGGCUCCGAAAAUAUAUGCGUUGGCAUGCCAAAAAUACUUCUACAACAGUUUUUUUAAAUGUGUAUGUACAUUUUCAUUAGAUGCGUGUGUACAUGUUCAUGUUCUUCUUUUUUGAACACAAUACAAACGCAAGCGUUCAUAUACACGUGCAUGCAUCCACCCCUAUGAACGCACACAACCACACUCUCUAUCAUUAUGAGCACCUCUGAGAGACUGAGGCACAUAUCAUCUUGAGAUUUACGAAUGCAAGCACGAAGACUUGAACCCUGAUGGGUUGGGGAUAUCACUAUCUCUCUAACCAUCCAACUACACGGGUUGGUUUACGUUUAGGUUCUUUUGUUGUGUUCAAUUUUCUAUGGAGAAACGACAAAUAUUGCGAAAUUAGGUUAAAAUGGCAGGUUAUUUCCAUUUGGAUGAUUUUGGCCAGGAAAUAGGUUUUGGCACAAGGGUUUCUGAAUAUGGUUAUUAUUUUGUUUCAACACCCAAAGGGUCCACGGAGGAAUGCAAUAGUUUGCAUGCAAAUUUCAUAAGAAGGCAAACAUAAACCUUGCACUUUCCAAGUUUACUGUAAACAAAUACCAACGUUUUAGCACAUCAAUCUUCAGACAUUUUUGGCUUACAAACGGUUCAGGCACUUUGCUUACAGACGUUAUUAUUUUGUUUCAACACCCAAAGGGUCCACGGAGGAAUGCAAUAGUUUGCAUGCAAAUUUCAUAAGAAGGCAAACAUAAAUCUUGCACUUUUCAAGUUUUUGUAAACAAAUACCAACGAUUUAGCACAUCAAUCUUCAGACGUUUUGGCUUACAAACGAUUGAGGCACUUUGCUAUGGUUCAGAAUUUUCUUUAUGCAUGCAGAAAACAAACCCAACAUAUAUUUCGUACGAGCUCUUUUGAAUCUCUUCCUUUGAUCAACUUGUUCCUCUUCAUCAUGACCCCCGUCCGAUAAUGGCAGUGGUCGGCAUCUUGUCAUGAAGUGCUCAUUGGUCUCGAGGAUGGCUGCCAACACUUGUUUUGACGACAUAGAUUCCACGCACGAAUCCUUGAGUCGAUUGCAGUGGUGCUGAUUCGCCAGCGCGUAGGUGCUCAUAACGGUCGCUGCAUCCAUAGUUUUGCACAGCUCAUCUGCACACAUGAGCUUGAGCCUCUCCAGAUCGUACAUGUCUGCCGCGACGCCGUAGCCUCCUUGGUCAUCGGCGUCGGAGGGCGGCGGCAGCGAGUCUGUAUAGAUGUAGUGCAGCAUCAUCUCGAAGAUGGCCGGCUCCACGUCGAUGACCUUGACGCGCGGCUUGUCCUUCCUCGCCAUGGGGCCAUAGAAUUGAGCUCUGAAGACCGGCGACCGCGCGGCCAGAAAACACCUGUGGCCGCGGAACUUGCGUCUGCCCACGCGGAACGUGACGUCGGCGCCUGUCCCGUCGUCGAGCAUGCUCUCGAGUUGGCUGAAGAGUUGGCUGGGCAGCUCCGGAGGCGGUGGUGGCCCGUCGGUGACCACGGCGAGGACACACCGUAUCGUGAAGCAGCCGUCCCCGAGUUGCGACAGCUCUUCCAGCUUGGACCUUUCCACAAAGUCGCGGCAGCCCCAUUCCUGGUAAUCUAACGGCGAGAAGAGGAGCUUCGCGGGACCGCAGCUGUCUAGGUUUACCUGGCUCCUUUUAUCUAGGAUGCUCAGCGUGAACUUGGCGAUCACCUCCGGAUCGGGAUUGGGAUCCAUGCCUUCUUGGCUGUACCAGCGCACAAACGCUGAGGCGUGGCCGUCACAGUCCUCGUCGACCCCGUCUGGGUAGAAUUUGAUCUUCCACUUGGACCCGCCGACUUCGACGUCGGGCCAACUAACGUACUCGCCGACACCCAUGCCAGCCAGCCGCAGGUAAUCGGUCACCUCGAAAUUGAACGUCCCGGUUUGCUCCCAGGCCGUGACACGUCUCCACGUGAUCUCCGGAGUGGUCGACCUGCUGUCAGCCAUGGCCGGCGGCGGUGGAGGACAAGAACAAGACCGGGGAGUUGAUUUGCACCCGCGUACGUACCGUACGUACCUAGACGCCUUAUCCUAUAUAUAUUGUAAGGAGGGAUUCGAAGAAAAGAGUGAAUCAAGUAGUAGUCCCGAUGGAGAGCAGGAUUUGCACGCGUAUGUAUACGUGCGCAUCCGACCUUGGAGAGGAAUCGAAGAAACAAAGAGUUUUUAUCUGCUACACGUGGGCCCGGGCGCUCGAUUUCGAGGUUAUCCACUUUUUUUUAUAGAGUACAAUCGAAGUCGUUCACAUACACGACCAUACAUUCAUCCCUAUGAAUGCACGUACGCACAUCCUAACCCUAUAAGCACCUUCGGGAGACUAAGCCGGCACAUCAUCUUAAGAUUGACGAAGUCGCCACAAACGCCAUCGUAGUCGACGGAAACUUCUUUUCACACUGAACGCACAUCGUCGGAAGACUUGAAAUAAAUUUAGGAAAAUGCAAACACCAAUACCAAAUCUGGGAUGUAAAUUCUAAUGGACAGGGUAUACCACAAUCCUUCUAACCAUCCAACUACAGAUUGAUUUUCGAGGUUCUUCACUUCUGAUCGAUGCACUAGUGGAAAACGGGCCUUUGGUCGGGACCCUUUAGUCCCGGCCUGCCUCUGGGCCGGGAUUAAAGGCCCGGCCUCGUCGUCCCAAAUCGCAAUGCCUCCCUCGAGGCUUUAGUGCCGGCCCGUAAGGAGCCUUUAGUCCCGGUUUGUGUCUCAAACCGGGACUAAAGGGCUACGCGGGGUGCAGCCCGCAUGUGCGCCACCUUUAGUCCCGGUUUGUGUCUCAAACCGGGACUAAAGUCCUCUGCCUAUAUAUAGCACAGCCCCCCUCUCCCCUCUUUCUUGCAUUUUUCUUGGAUGGAAGAGUGUGGGUGUGUGCUAGCUCUCCAUUUUUUUUCAUGCACUAGAGGUGUUUGUUGAAAUGUGUGUUAGAGCGAUGCCGCUUCAGUUCACCGAACACAACUACGAUAUGAGAUGCCUGAGCCACGCUUAAACCUCUUCCUCUUUAUUUCUACUUAUUCUAAAAGGUUAGCAACUAUAUUUCCUCGUUUAGACCGUGCGGUACUAAUUUUUAGGAUCGUGAUUGUAUUUGAUAUACUGUCGUAUAACGCAGAUGAGCCAUCCAUGGAUGUAUGGUGAUCGACGCACAGCCGCUUACAGAGAAGGCGUGCAUUCUUUUCGAAAUGCAGCCGAUGCGAACAAGCAUGGUGGUGGCUUUAUGUUUUGUCCAUGUGUUGAAUGUCGGAAUGAGAAGGAUUACACUUCCUCAAGAGUCAUUCAGAUCCACCUGCUUCGGUCCGAUUUUAUGUCGGGCUAUAAUGUUUGGACCAAGCACGGAGAAAGAGGGGUUAUGAUGGAAGACGACGAUGAAGAAGAAGAGAAGGAUGAUGACAACUACCGAUCUAUGUUCCCUGAGUAUGCUGAUACCGCAAUGGAAGACAAUGAAGAAGAAGAUCAGGAUGAAGAACGGAAACCAGAUGAGCCCGCUGAUGAUCUUGGCCGGGUCAUUUCUGAUGCAUGGCGAGGUUGCGACACAGAAAAGGAGAGGUUGCAGUUCGAGCAGAUGUUACAGGACCACAACAAAUUGUUGUACCCAACUUGUGAAGAUGGCCAGAAGAAGCUGGGUAGCACACUGGAAUUGCAGAAGUGGAAGGUAGAGACCGGUGUGACUGACUCAUCAUUCGAAUAGUUGCUGGUACUGAUGAAGAAGAUGCUUCCAAGAAAGAACGAAUUGCCCGCCAGCACGUACGAAGCAAAGAAGCUUGUCUUCCCUCUAGGAUUAGACGUGCAGAAGAUACAUGCAUGCCCUAAUGACUGCAUCCUCUACCGCGGUGAGAAGUACGAGAAUAUGGAUAAAUGCCCGGUAUGCACUGCAUUGCGGUAUAAGAUCAGAAAAGAUGACCCUGGUGAUAUUGAGGGCGAGCCAUCCAGGAAGAGGGUUCCUGCCAAGGUGAUGUGGUAUGCUCCUAUAAUACCACGGUUGAAACGUUUGUUCAGAAAUAAAGAUCAUGCGAAGUUGUUGCGAUGGCACAUGGAAGAUCGUAUGAAAGACGAUAAGUUGAGGCACACCGCUGAUGGUCGGCAGUGGAGAAAAAUCGAGAGAGAGUUUCCGAGAUUUGCAGCUGACGCAAGGAACUUAUGGUUAGGUCGGAGUACAGAUGGCAUGAAUCCUUUUGGGGAGCAGAGUUGCAGUCACAUCACCUGGCCCGUUACUCUAUGUAUCUACAACCUUCCUCCUUGGUUGUGCAUGAAGCCGAAGUUCAUUAUGAUGCCAGUGCUUAUCCAAGGUCCAAAGCAACCCGGCAACGAUAUUGAUGUGUACCUAAGGCCAUUAGUUGAUGAACUUUUACAGCUGUGGGCCGAACGAGGUGUACGUGUGUGGGACGAGCACAAACAAGAGGAAUUUGACCUUCGAGCGUUGCUUUUCAUAACCAUCAAUGAUUGGCCUGCUCUUAGUAACAUUUCAGGACAGUCAAACAAGGGAUACAAUGCAUGCACGCACUGUUUGGAUCAGACAGAAAGUAUAUAUCUGGACAAAUGUAGGAAGAAUGUGUACCCGUACAAUCGUCGUUUUCUUCCGCCCAAGCAUCCCUUAAAGAAAAAAGGCAAGCAUUUCAAUGGCAAGGUAGAACCCCGGGGGAAGCCUGUCAUCCGUACUGGUGCUGAAGUAUUUGAUAUGGUCAAAGAUUUAAAAGUAAUCUUUGGAAAGGGUCCUGGCAGACAACCUGUUCCUAACGGCCCUGAUAAGCGCGUACCCAUGUGGAAGAACAAAUCUAUAUUUGAGAGCUACCCUAUUGGGAAGUCCAUGAGGUCCGCUCGGCAAUCCACGUGAUGCACCUGACGAAGAAUCUCUGCGUGAAUAUUCUAGGCUUCUUGGGCUUGUAUGGGAAGUCAAAAGAUACACCAGAAGCACGGGAGGACCAGGAAAGUCAUAAAGGAAGAGAUGGCAUGCAUCCAGGGCAGUUUCAAGGGCGUGCCAGCUACGCUCUUACUAAGGAAGAGAAGGAAAUCUUCUUUGAAGUCAUUUUCAGUAUCAAGGUCCCGACUGGCUUCUCGUCGAAUAUAAAGGGAAUCGUAAAUAUGAAAGACAAAAAAUUCCAAAACCUAAAGUCUCAUGACUGCCACGUGCUUAUGACGCAAUUGCUUUCGGUUGCAUUGAGGGGAAUUCUACCGGAAAAUGUUUGCCUGGCAAUUGUGAAGGUAUGUGCAUUCCUCAAUGCAAUUUCUCAGAAGGUAAUCGAUCGAGAAAGUCUAUCAGGGUUAGAGAUUGAUGUGGUCCAAUGUCUGGUCAGCUUUGAGUUGUUGUUCCCGCCAUCCUUCUUCAAUAUAAUGACACACCUCCUAGUUCACCUAGUCGAAGAGAUUAUUUAUUCAAUUUCAAACACUUUUCAUUAUCAUAGUUUUGUCAAAUUCUCAAAUAUGCAAAAAGAAUUUUAAUAAACAUAGUUUUUAAUUGAAAAUAACAAAAUAGUUAAUUUUGAAAAUAGAAACAAAUUGAAACUAUAUGAGAAUUUGUAAAGAAACUUAAACCUAAAUUCAAAGUGAGCUCACUUUGAAUUCAGGUUUAAGUUUCUCCACAAUUUCAAAUAUAGUUUCAAUUUUUAAAUUUACAGUCAGUUUAGGCCCGUAAGCCUGCUUGAGAGAGGAGCUCGAUGGAGUAGCUGCGACGGGGCUUAUAAACAAGUGUUAGUCCCCCUUGCUGGGCGAGGUGGGACUAAACUUAUCGUGCAGCCGAGGAGGGGCUUUAGUCCCGGGUGGAGCCACGACCCGGGACUAAAGCCCCUCGCCUGCCGCGUGCCCAGGAGGGGCUUUAGUCCCGGUGCGUGUCUCCAACCGGGACUAAAGACCCCCUUUAGUCCCGGUUGGAGCUCCGCACCGGGACUAAAGGCCCCUGCUUCCCGCCUUCUGGUCUGCCCGAAAAAGGGCCUUUAGUCCCGGGUCGUGGCUCCACCCGGGACUAAAGGGGGCUCGAACCGGGACUAAAGAUCCACCUAUAUAAGCGGGAGUUAGAAAAAUUCCAACCCAAAUCGUUCGUUUCUCUUCUUCUUCCUCUCGUUCUCCUGCCCGGCGCGGCACACCGACGACCUCGACGACGCCGUCAGGCUGCCCGCCGUCCUCCUCGCCGCCGCCUGUCGUCCUCCUCGCCGCNNNNNNNNNNNNNNNNNNNNNNNNNNNNNNNNNNNNNNNNNNNNNNNNNNNNNNNNNNNNNNNNNNNNNNNNNNNNNNNNNNNNNNNNNNNNNNNNNNNNNNNNNNNNNNNNNNNNNNNNNNNNNNNNNNNNNNNNNNNNNNNNNNNNNNNNNNNNNNNNNNNNNNNNNNNNNNNNNNNNNNNNNNNNNNNNNNNNNNNNNNNNNNNNNNNNNNNNNNNNNNNNNNNNNNNNNNNNNNNNNNNNNNNNNNNNNNNNNNNNNNNNNNNNNNNNNNNNNNNNNNNNNNNNNNNNNNNNNNNNNNNNNNNNNNNNNNNNNNNNNNNNNNNNNNNNNNNNNNNNNNNNNNNNNGAAGAAAAGAAGAAAAAGCAAAAGAUUUUUUUUUGUCAUUUAAUUCCUAUUGUUAUUAGGUUUGUGCUACAUUAUUAGGGUUAGUAAUAUUUAGAAUUAGGUUAGGGUUACAAGAAGAAGAAAUAUGAACAAAAAUAAGAAAAUAAGAUUAGGAAAAAGGAAAAUAAGAAGAGGAGGAGAAGAAAAGAAGAAAAAGGAGAAUAAGAAGAGGAGGAGAGGAGAAGAAGAGGAAAAAUAGAAGAAGAUGAGAAGUAGAAGAAGAGGAAAAAUUAGAAGAGGAGGAGAGGAGAAGUAGAAGAAGAGAAGAGGAGAAGUAGGAGAAGAAGAGGAGAAGUAGAAGUAGAAGAAGAGGAUAAAUAGAAGAAGAGGAAAAAUUAGGUUAGGGUUACAAGAAGAAAAAAUAUAUAUUUUUUGUCAUUUAAUUUUGCUAUUGUAUAGUGUAUAUGCUUAAGUGUUAAUAGUUUAUUUUUAGCAAGAAAAUUAAUAGAACUAGUUUAUUUUUUUUAGUUCAUUUUACGAUGCCUAUCCCGCAUCCUCAUCGUCGACUCGGCGGAGGACACCUGCUUGAUCAGAGGGGCCCUGUCCGGGGCUGGGCUCCGCCCGGCUGGUAUUGGGAGGUGCUACCUUCCGGGGGGCGUAGGUUGGUGAGGAGCCAGCCCGUUGUUGACCCGAUCCUUGUUUGGUGGCGGUCGCGUGGGCCAGUGAGGGUGCCGAGGCUUCCGGACACCGCGGAGGUGGUACGUCAUCGUGUCAGCGAGGAGGAUGAGCACGUCCGUCGCUCCAUGGUUGCGUUGGAGGGCAGGUUCGAGCAUACCUCACAGGUUCUUCGGGGAUCUCACUGGAGCUAUGAUCCUGUGAUGGUUCCUUCUCUUUGGAUGUCCACAGCCCGAGACGAUACCCGUCGAGCGCUACGGUUCUAGAUGUAUCAGUGAUGCUAUAUGUAUGUAUUGGGGAACGUCGCAUGGGAAACAAAAAUUUUCCUACGCGCACGAAGACCUAUCAUGGUGAUGUCCAUCUACGAGAGGGGAUAUUCGAUCUACAUACCCUUGUAGACCGCACAGCAGAAGCGUUAGUGAACGCGGUUGAUGUAGUGGAACGUCCUCACGUCCCUCGAUCCGCCCCGCGAACCGUCCCACGAUCAGCCCCAUGAUCUAGUGCCGAACGGACGGCACCUCCGCGUUCAGCACACGUACAGCUCGACGAUGAUCUCGGCCUUCUUGAUCCAGAAAGAGAGACGGAGAGGUAGAUGAGUUCUCCGGCAGCGUGACGGCGCUCCGGAGGUUGGUGGUGAUCUUAUCUCAGCAGGACUCCGCCCGAGCUCCGCAGAAACGCGAUCUAGAGGUAAAACCGUGGAGAUAUGUGGUCGGGCUGCCGUGGCAAAGUUGUCUCAAAUCAGCCCUAAAACAUUCGUAUAUAUAGGGGGAGGAGGGGGAGCCUUGCCUUGGGGUCCAAGGACUCCCAACGGGGUCGGCCGAGCCAAGGGGGGCAACCCUCCCCUUCCAAACCAAGUCCAACUAGGUUUGGAAGGAGGAGUCCUUCCCCCUUUUCCCACCUCCUCGGGGCUCUUUGAUUUUCUUCCUAUGGCGCAUAGGGCCUUCUUGGGCUGUCCCACCAGCCCACUAAGGGCUGGUGUGCCACCCCCAAGGCCUAUGGGCUUCCCCGGGGUGGGUUCCCCCCCGGUGAACACCCGGAACCCAUUCGUCAUUCCCGGUACAUUCCCGGUAACUCCGAAAACCUUCCAGUAAUCAAAUGAGGUCAUCCUAUAUAUCAAUCUUCGUUUCCGGACCAUUCUGGAAACCCUCGUGACGUCCGUGAUCUCAUCCGAGACUCCGAACAACAUUCGGUAACCAACCAUAUAACUCAAAUACGCAUAAAACAACGUCGAACCUUAAGUGUGCAGACCCUGCGGGUUCGAGAACUAUGUAGACAUGACCCGAGAGACUCCUCGGUCAAUAUCCAAUAGCGGGACCUGGAUGCCCAUAUUGGAUCCUACAUAUUCUACGAAGAUCUUAUCGUUUGAACCUCAGUGCCAAGGAUUCAUAUAAUCCCGUAUGUCAUUCCCUUUGUCCUUCGGUAUGUUACUUGCCCGAGAUUCGAUCGUCAGUAUCAGCAUACCUAUUUCAAUCUCAUUUACCGGCAAGUCUCUUUACUCGUUCCGUAAUACAAGAUCCCGCAACUUAAACUAAGUCACAUUGCUUGCAAGGCUUGUGUGUGAUGUUGUAUUACCGAGUGGGCCCCGAGAUACCUCUUCGUCAAACGGAGUGACAAAUCCGAGUCUCGAUCCAUACUAACUCAACGAACACCUUUGGAGAUACCUGUAGAGCAUCUUUAUAGUCACCCAGUUACGUUGCGACGUUUGAUACACACAAAGUAUUCGUCCGGUGUCAGUGAGUUAUAUGAUCUCAUGGUCAUAGGAACAAAUACUUGACACGCAGAAAACAGUAGCAACAAAAUGACACGAUCAACAUGCUACGUCUAAUAGUUUGGGUCUAGUCCAUCAUGUGAUUCUUCUAAUGACGUGAUCCAGUUAUCAAGCAACAACACCUUGUUCAUAAUCAGAAGACACUGAUUAUCUUUGAUAAACUGGCUAGCCAACUAGAGGUUUGCUAGGGACAGUGUUUUGUCUAUGUAUCCACACAUGUAUAUAAGUUUUUAUUCAAUACAAUGAUAGCAUGGAUAAUAAACGAUUAUCUUGAUACAGGAAUUAUAAUAAUAAAUAUAUUUAUUAUUGCCUCUAGGGCAUAAUUCCAACAGUCUCCCACUUGCACUAGAGUCAAUAAUCUAGCCCUCACAUCAUCAUGCGAAUUACAUUGUAAUAAAUCUAACACCCAUACAGUUCUGGUGUUGAUCAUGCUUUGCCCGUGGAAGAGGUUUAGUCAGCGGGUCUGCUACAUUCAGAUCCGUGUGCACUUUGCAUAUAUUUAUGUCCUCCCCUUCGACGUAGUCGCGGAUGAGGUUGAAGUGUCGUUUGAUGUGUCUGGACUUCUUGUGAAACCGUGGUUCCUUUGCUAGGGCAAUGGCACCUGUGUUGUCACAGAACAAGGUUAUUGGAUUUAGUGCGCUUGGCACCACUCCAAGAUCCGUCAUGAACUGCUUCAUCCAGACACCCUCCUUAGCCGCCUCCGAGGCAGCCAUGUACUCCGCUUCACAUGUAGAAUCUGCUACAACGCUCUGCUUGGAACUGCACCAGCUUACCGCACCCCCAUUAAGAAUAAAUACGUAUCCGGUCUGCGACUUAGAGUCGUCCGGAUCUGUGUCGAAGCUUGCAUCGACGUAACCUUUUACGGCGAGCUCUUCGUCACCUCCAUACACGAGAAACAUCUCCUUAGUCCUUGUCAGGUACUUCGGGAUAUUCUUGACCGCCAUCCAGUGAUCCACUCCUGGAUUACUCUGGAACCUACCUGCCAUACUUAUGGCCAGGCUAACAUCCGGUCUAGUGCACAGCAUUGCAUACAUGAUAGAACCUAUGGCUGAAGCAUAGGGGACGGUGCUCAUAUGCUCUCUAUCCUCAUCAGUUGCUGGGCACUGAGUCUUACUCAAUCUCGUACCUUGUAAAACUGGCAAGAACCCUUUCUUGGACUGUUCCAUUUUGAACCUCUUCAAAACUUUAUCAAGGUAUGUGCUUUGUGAAAGUACUAUCAGGCGUUUUGAUCUAUCCCUGUAGAUCUUAAUGCCUAGAAUGUAAGCAGCUUCUCCUAGGUCCUUCAUAGAGAAACUUUUAUUCAAGUAAUCCUUUAUGCUCUCCAAAAACUCUACUUUGUUUCCAAUCAGCAAUAUGUCAUCCACAUAUAAUAUUAGAAACACCACAGAGCUCCCAAUCACUUUCUUGUAAAUACAAGAUUCUCCAACCACUUGUAUAAACCCAAAUGCUUUGAUCACCUCAUCAAAGCGUUUGUUCCAACUCCGAGAUGCUUGCACCAGUCCAUAAAUGGAUCGCUGGAGCUUGCACACCUUGUUAGCAUUCUUAGGAUCGACAAAACCUUCGGGUUGCAUCAUAUACAACUCUUCCUUAAGGAAACCGUUAAGGAACGCCGUUUUGACAUCCAUCUGCCAGAUUUCAUAAUAAAAAAAAGCAGCUAUUGC
Molecule: long non-coding RNA, 46055 nt
Filed under: Hordeum vulgare
Lineage: Eukaryota; Viridiplantae; Streptophyta; Magnoliopsida; Poales; Poaceae
Description: long non-coding RNA (HVUL_LNC005641)
Source: RNAcentral